UUUUUUUUUCUUCUUUGAAAAUAUGGAAUCACCUUGGUUUCUAGGUAGUUGCGAUUGUGUAGCUGAAAGAUCCAUGUCAUCCAAAGAAACAUCAACUUCGCAUCCAUGGAAAUCAUUUCUUUCUUCAUGAGUAUUUGUAGUAUCUACAUCCUCAACAUCUAUUUCUUCAAUAAUAUUAGUUAUUGUUUGAGCAUCUUUCCUAGUGGCUCGAUCUUUUGCAUAGAUGGCAGUAAGUUGGUCAUAAUAAGGGAAACUACGAUGUUUGAAUUGACCGGCUUCUUUGUUACUUUAUAAAAAAUGAGGAAUCCAUAUUAGAUAUAAGUUUUGUCAAAACAAGAUAAUAAAGACUCGAAAUAAUUCUUACAUUUAUAUAUGAGUUCCACACAACAUCUUCAACAACAACAAUCUACCUAUGAUUGUCCCAACCAAAGCCACUAUUGUUUUUUUCACUAAGCAUGUCAUAAACGAUUGCCCAAUCCCUUUUCAAUGUCUUAAUCCUCAAUUCAAGAUUUGGUUUAGCCUUUAACAUAGCAUGGGUAAAACUUUUUCUAACAUUUUUUCUAGCUCAUGUAAAUAACUAGCUUUAAAUCUCGUAUUUGCAUUAAAGGUUCUAACAUUGUGCAAGUCGACCAUACAGGCAACCAACAUAUCAUCUUCUUCUGGAACCUAUUUCCUUUUGGUUCAUCAAGAAUUUUGGGAAUAAACACUUGAUUGUGUAAAACCUAACAUAAUUAUCUUAAGAAAAAACACAAAUUAAAAAUAAGUUCAAUAUUAUGAAUCAUAAGGUUGACACUUUAUAAAAUUAUAACACAUGAUAAAUCAAAAGAAAAUAAAUUAUAAUUCAACAAGUCUAGUACAAUACAAAAAAUAAUUCAAACACCACAAAAGUUCCAUAAACUAGAUACAUGAAAUAACAUAAACAAAUUAACGUUUACUAUUUUUACCCUAAACCUAACUAAUUUCUAGAUGCUUGCCAUUCAUUGAACAUUUGAUUGGCUAGUUCCAUCCUCCAAGUAUCCCAUGCAUCCGAUGGAUGAAUAUUUAUGAUAUUCGGUUCAUCGUCAUCUAUCACAUUACUAGGUAAUCCUGCUCCCAACUCCACUUUAAUAGGAUCAAAGUUCAUAUAGGUUCGAAUAAAAUUAUGGAGCAAAUAACAUGCAAUAAUGAUUCUAUUGUACACCCUCACAGGAUAGAAUGAUGGACUCCUAAGUAUUCCUUAUCUAAUUUUUAAUAACCCAAAGCAUCUUUCAAUAACAUUACGAGCUGAAGCAUGUUUCAUAUUGAAAAAUUCUUUCGGAGUACUUGGCUGGUAACCCUGACGCCACUUAUUCAAAUGAUAUCUUUGUCCUCUAAAAGGCGUAAGAAAUCCCUCAUAGUUUGUGUAUCCAACAUCAGCUAGAUAAUAACAACCUAUAAAAAAACUAUUUAUCAUGGUUAAUUUCCCAAAAAAGUAUGAUCUUUAAAAUUAAUUCAAAUUCCUCUAAUUUUGCACUUUACCAUGAAGAACUUUUAGUCCAUGUCACCUGUUAAUGGCAUCUCGAAGAACUCAUCCAUCAGCAACAGAACCUUCCCAACUAGGAAGAACUUAAACAAAAUGCAUAUCUGGUGUACAAACACCUAACAUAUUUGUGCUAUGUCACCUUUUUGCAUUCGAUAUCUAGGUCUAUCAACUGUAGGAACCCUAAUCUUGAUGUGGGUUCCAUCUAAAGCACUUAAGCAUUUCUACAUCACAUGUAUAAAACCUCGGGUUAGGAUACUAUAUUUAAAUCUAUAACGAUCUGGUAGUUAGGGUGUCAGAUAGUAAAGUCUGGGAUGCCAUUUUCGUAAAACGAACUCGUAAAUAUUUUUAUUUAAAUAUUUAUGAUGUUAGUUAGUAGUGAACUAGAUUUUGAUUAAGUGAAUUUUGAGAAAUUAAGAAUUAUUAAGGUAUAGGGACUAAAUCGCAUAAGAGUUAAAAAUUAAAUUAUAGGUUAAAAAUUAAUAGAGGGACUAAAGUAGUAAAUAUCCAAUUACCUAAGGUUAGUGGACGGCAUUAACAUGUAUGAUAUAUAUAUGUUAUUUUAUAAUAAAAGUAUAAUAAAAGAAAUAAUAAAAGUUAUAAUAAUAAAAAGAAAGUGGUAACAUGCAAAUUAAAGGUGUAGCGACCUAAAAAUUUGGGCACGGGCGCUAGUUGAAGUAAUCAUUGAAAAUUUGAAAACGGAUUUUGAUUUUAUUUAAAAAGGGAGUCGUCACCAAUCUUUUUUCUAGGUGUGAUCGGACACCUAAUAAAUUCUCUUUUUUAAAAGAAAAAUUAUUUUUUAAAUUUUCUAAAAAAGAGUCGAUUUUAGGUCCAAGUCAAAAUCUAGAGAAAAUUAGGGUUCGGGAGUCGGUUACGCGCGAGGAAGGUAUUAGCACCCUCGCGACGCCCAAAAUUAGUAUCUCGUUAAACGCGUGCUGAAAUGGCCUGCUGCUUGCGCCUGAGCUCUGGGCUUGGACAGGCCUUUUUUUUGCUACUGCUUUUGUUUUUUUACUGCUGCUGUUUUUUUGGGCUGAUCUGCUACUGUUGGGCCUGCUGGGCUGAUGGGUCGGGUGCGGGUUGUAUCGGGUCGGGUCAGUUUGGCCCUGCUGUUAAAAUUUUUAUUUUAUUUUUCCUUUUUCUUUCCAUUUCUUCUUUCUUCUUUCUUUCUUCUCUUUUUCUCCAUUUGCUUCUUCUCCUUCGGCAACCCCGACGUCACUCCCCCAGCCCGGUACGGCAGUAGACAACAGUUGUGGAGCUCUCCUCUCUAUCCUCCCUUAUUUUUUUUCUUUUCUUUCUUCUUUACUAUUUCUUUUUGCUUUUUCUUUUGCUUGCUGCUUUUUCUUUUGUUUAUGCUUACUUGGUUCUUGGCUUGGGUUAAGCGGUGGAGCAACGAUUGUGGUGGCGCGACGAUCGUGGUGGUGGUGGGGGAAAUCGGCUGGAUUUGAGAGCUCUUUUUUUGAAAUUUUUCUGCUGAUUUUUCUUUUCUUUUUUUUUCUUGGCUUCCCAUUUUGGGGGUUUUAAAACCCCUUUUCUCCUUUUUUGCAUGUUGUAGGUGGCUAGGGAGGGGUAGGCCGGCCGCCGCCUGUUGCAAGCGUAAGUUACGCUGGUUGCUGCAGAGGGACCAAAAUGUAAAUACAGUAAAAUUUUUGGGGUCAAAACGUAAUUUUGAGAAAUUUCAAGGGUCAAAAUGUAAUUUAGAAAAGUUUAGGGGUUGAAAUGUAAUUUUGAAAAUUUUAGGGGUUGAAAUGUAAUUUUGAAAGAGUUUAAGGGUCAAAAUGUAAUUUUAAAAAAAUUAGGGGUCAAAUUGCAAAUUUUUUAAUUAAUUAAAAAAACAAGAAAUUAUUCCCGGACAAAAUUCAGUGGUUACAGCUGCCCCUCUUUGCUCAUCGCUGUGAAACAAGGAUAGAGCAAAGACUUAAAAGCACUGAAUUUUGUUCGACCAUCCAAAAUUUUCUUUUUAUUUGAAAAGUAAAAAUCGAGAAUAGCUUGGCGUGCGACCGAGGCUCAACUCACCUAUCGCAAUAUGAGUUGAUUUUUGAAAAACAGAAAUUAAAAAUAAUACCUCGGCAUGCGACCCGAAGCUCAACUCACCUCUAGCAAUAUGAGUUGAUUUUUUGAAAAAACAGAAAUUGAAAAAUACCUCAGCGUGUGACCCGAGGCUCAACUCACCUCUCGCAACAUGAGUUGAUUUUUGAAAAACAGAAAUUUAAAAUACCUCAGCGUGCGACCCGAGGCUCACUCACCUCUCGCAGUAUGAGUUGAUUUUUGAAAAACAAAAUUUAAAAUACCUCACGUGGCACCCGAGGCUCAACUCACCUCUCGCAAUAUGGGUUGAUUUUUGCAAAACAAAAAUUUAAAAUACCUCGGCUUGUGUCCGAGGCUCAACUCACCUCUCGCAAUUUGAGUUGAUUUUUGAAAAUAGAAAUUAAAGAUACCUCGGUAUGUGAUCCGAUGCUCAACUCACCUCUCGCAAUAUGAGUUGAUUUUUUGAAAAACAGAAAUUUAAAAAGAAAUACCUCAGCGUACGACCCGAGCCUCAACUCACCUCUCGCAAUAUAAGUUGAUUUUUUGAAAAACAGAAAUUUAAAAUACCUCAGCGUGCGACCCGAGGCUCAACUCACCUCUCGCAAUAUGGGUUGAUUUUUGCAAAACAAAAAUUUAAAAUACCUCGGCUUGUGUCCGAGGCUCAACUCACCUCUCGCAAUUUGAGUUGAUUUUUGAAAAUAGAAAUUAAAGAUACCUCGGUAUGUGAUCCGAUGCUCAACUCACCUCUCGCAAUAUGAGUUGAUUUUUUGAAAAACAGAAAAUAAAGAUACCUCGGUAUGUGACCCGAGGCUCAAUUCACCUCUCGCAAUAUGAGUUGAUUUUUUUUGAAAAAUAGAAACUGAAAAUACCUCAGCGUGACUCGAGUGUCAACUCACCUCUGGCAUUAUGAGUUGAUUUUUAAAAAAAAAAAUUAAAGAUACCUCGGUAAGUGACCCGAGGCUCAACUCACCUUUCGCAAUAUGAGUUGAUUUUUUUUGAAAAACAGAAAUUUAAAAUACCUCGGCAUGUGUCCGAGGCUCAACUCACCUCUCGCAAUUUGAGUUGAUUUUUGAAAAUAGAAAUUAAAGAUACCUCGGUAUGUGAUCCGAUGCUCAACUCACCUUUCGCAAUAUGAGUUGAUUUUUUGAAAAAUAGAAAAUAAAGAUACCUCGGUAUGUGACUUGAGGCUCAACUCACCUCUCACAAUAUGAGUUGAUUUUUUUUGAAAAAUAGAAACUAAAAAUACCUCAGCGUGACCCGAGGCUCAACUCACUUCUCGCAUUAUUAGUUGACUUUUUUGAAAAACAGAAAUUAAAGAUACCUCGGUAAGUGACCCGAGGCUCAACUCACCUUUCACAAUAUGAGUUGAUUUUUUUUGAAAAAUAGAAACAGAAAAUACCUCAGCAUGACCCGAGGCUCAACUCACCUCUCGCAUUAUGAGUUGAUUUUUUUGAAAAACAGAAAUUAAAGAUACCUCGGUAAGUGACCCGAGGCUCAACUCACCUCUCGCAUUAUGAGUUGAUUUUUUUGAAAAACAGAAAUUAAAGAUACCUCGGUAUGUGACCCGAGGCUCAACUCACCUUUCACAAUAUGAGUUGAUUUUUUUGAAAAAUAGAAACAGAAAAUACCUCAGCGUGACCCGAGGCUCAACUCACCUCUCGCAUUAUGAGUUGAUUUUUUUGAAAAACAGAAAUUAAAGAUACCUCGGUAAGUGACCCGAGGCUCAACUCACCUUUCGCAAUAUGAGUUGAUUUUUUUUAAAAGCAGACUUUAAAAAAAUACCUCGGCGUGACCCGAGGCUCAACUCACCUCUCGCAAUAUGAGUUGAUUUUUGAAAAAACAAAAAUUGAGAAAUACCUCGGCGUGUGCCCAAGGCUCAACUCACCUCUUGCAUUAUGAGUUGAAUUUUUUGAAAAACAGAACUUAAAAAAAACACCUCGGCGUAUGACCCGAGGCUCAACUCACCUCUCGCAAUAUGAGUUGAUUUUUUGAAAAAAAGAAAUUGAAAAAUACCUCAGCGUGACCCGAGGCUCAACUCACCUCUCGCAUUAUGAGUUAAUUUUUUGAAAAAUAGAAAUUGAAAAAUACCUCAGGAUGUGACUCGAGGCUCAACUCACCUUUCGCAAUAUGAGUUGAUUUUUUUUAAAAGCAGAAAUUGAAAAUACCUCAGCAUGACUCGAGGCUCAACUCACCUCUUGCAAUAUGAGUUGAUUUUUGCAAAAACAGAAAUUGAAAAAAAAUAAUUUUUGAAAGAAACAGGGUUUCAAAAACAUCGGGUAAAACUAAAAGCCUCCUUUUCAUUAAUUCUGUGCAGCUUUCUCCUAAAAUUCCUUGCUCUACUGGAUACCUAUAUAUGUCAUGUAUGAUGUUAUCAUGAUAUGCACGUGUUUAUCCUAAAUGCUUUUAUGCCUACAUGAUCAUGCCAUGCACUUUGAACUGUUUGUCACAUGCCCCCUUUUUCGUAAGGGACUACAUUCAUCGCCUCAAACAUCGAUUACUCAUCUUCGAUUUUGUUGAGUGACCCACAUUUUCGUAUACCACCUUCCUGCCCCCUUGUUGAACUUUGUUCCUGCUUUGGGGCCCUUGUAUUUAUCAAAUUCUCAUCCUGGUAAUGCUCAACAUUCCUUUUGUUUAGAGUAUGUCAUCUUACUAUUUAUCAUUUAAAUGAAUCAAACACGAGAUGCAUAAAAAAACAAAGUAGGCAUGAAAGAAAUACCUCACAUUCAAUUUUUCAAAAGCAAUAAAUUAAAGAAAAAUGACAAGGAAGUUCCAAUAAAGAAAGCAUCAUAAAGAAAGGAAAGUGAAUUCAAUUGCCACAAAUGCUCUAGAUAUCCAACGCAUGAACUUGUCCACAUUUCUUCGUUAAGGAUCUUUUCGAGCAUGGCUUCCUGUGUAGAAGAUUUCAAGCUUCUGAGAAUGCUUCAAAUAUUGUAACCUCGCCAUUCGACUCCCCGUUCAAGUCGUCUAUCUCCUUUAAGUUCGAGCCCGUUUCAUUAGGACGCCCUUUCAGGUUUUCAUCCUAAUCUUUUUUGUUUAUCAAGACGCCCUUUUCGGGUUUUCAUCUUGAUUUUUCAUUUUUUGUUUUUUUUCUGUUUUUUUGUUUCUUUUUGUUUCUUUCUGUUUUUUCUGUUUUUUCUAUUUUUUUGUUUUUUUGUUUUUUUUGUUUGUUUAGGCAUAACAUUUCUUCACAGCAUCUGAGUUCACUGGAUUAGGUAAUUCUUUCCCAUCCAUUUCAGUGAGAAUCAAAGCCCCUCUUGAGAAUGUCUUUUUUACAACAUAUGGCCAUUCCCAAUUUGGUGACCAUUUUCCUCGAAAGUCUUUUUAUACCGGGAGGAUUUUUCUUAGUACAAGUUCCCCUUCGCGGAAUUCUCUUGGCCGCACCUUUUUAUCAUGGGCCGUGAUCAUUCUUUUCUGGUACAUCUGUCUGUGACAAAUUACCUUCAAGCGUUUUCCUUCAAUAAGGUUUAGCUGGUCAUAUCGAGCUCGAACCCAUUCUGAUUAUUUUAGUUUUGACUCCAUCAAGACUCGCAGGGAUGGGAUCUUUACUUCGAUAGGCAAAACGGCUUCUAUCCGGUAGACCAGGGGGAAAUGAGUUGCUCCCAUAGAUGUCCGUACAGAGGUGCGAUAUGCAUACAAAGUGAAUGGUAGCUUAUCGUGCCAAUCUUUAUAUAUCUCAGUCAUCUUCCCGAUAAUUCUCUUAAUAUUUUUGUUGGCCACUUCAAUAGCUCCGUUCAUUUUCGGGCGAUAAGGUGAGGAAUUAUGAUACUUUAUCUGGAAUUGCUCACACACUUCUUUCAUCAUUUUGUUGUUCAGAUUCAAAGCAUUAUCUGAAAUAAUUCUCUCAGGCAAACCAUAUCGACAUAUUAUCUCCCUUUUUUAGGAACCUACAGACUGCGGCCUUUGUCACAUUAGCAAACGAAGUGGCUUCUACCUAUUUUGUGAAGUAGUCUAUAACCACAAAGAUGAAUCGAUGCCCAUUAGAAGCCUUCGGGGAGAUUGGCCCUAUAACAUCCAUGCCCCACAUAGAAAAAGGCCACGGAGAAGUCAAGACAUGAAGGGGUGAAGGAGCCGCAUGAAUUUUACUGCUGUAAAUUUAACAUUUAUGACACUUUCGUGCGUAUCCAAUGCAAUCCCUUUCCAUCGUCAGCCAAAAAUAACCAAGUCUCAUAAUCUGUCUGGCCAUAGUGAAACCACUGGCAUGCGUUCCACAAAUUCUUUUGUGAACCUCUUCAAGUAUCUUUCUAGCUUCAACAGCGUCCACACAUCUCAGGAGCACUUGAUAUUUUCCUAUUUUGUAUAGGAUAUCCCCUUCAAGAACACAUCCAAUCGCCAUUCUCCUGAAAGUUCUUUUGUCAUUCUCGUUUGCUUGCUCGGGGUACUUUUGAUUCUUGAUAUACUCUAAGAUAUCAUGGAACCAUGGUCGUCCAUCUGACUCCUCCUCAAUGCUAAAACAAUGUAGGGGGUCUCAUGUAUGCUCAUCUGGAUAGGCAUUAUUUCAGUUUCUUUGUUUGCUUUAAACAUUAAAGCCAAAGUGGCCAGGGCAUCAGCCAGUUGGUUCUCUUUCCGUGGGAAGUAGUUAAAAGUCACUUCAUUGAACUCUUUUACUAGUUCCGCAACGAGAUCGCGAUACUUUACUAAUUUUGAAUCCCUUACUUCCUAAUCUCCACGAAUUUGGUAAAUGACUAAUGCUGAGUCCCCGUGUACCUCUAAAAUUUUAAUUUUCCUCCUGAUGGCUGCACGGAGUCCUAUGAUGCAAGCUUCAUACUCUGCUAUAUUAUUGGUACAGAAGAAAUUCAAUCUAGCAGUGAGCAGGUAAUGAUCCCCUUCCGGCGACACUAAGACUGCUCCGAUCCCAUGCCCCAAUACAUUCGAUGCAUCAUCAAAGCUCAUCUUCCAUGAUUCCUCUUUUGAUGACUCACCCUCUUUUUUCUGAAAUGCACAUCAAGUCUUCAUCUGGGAAAUCAAAUCUCAAAGGCUCGUAUUCUUCUCUUGUUCGACUAGCCAAGAAGUCAGCUAUUGCGCUUCCCUUUAUCGACUUUUGGCUCACAUAUGCGAUGUCAUACUCAGUCAGAAGGAUCUGCCAUCGUGCCAUUCUUCCUGAGAGUGCAGGUGACUCCAUCAUGCACUUUAUUGGAUCCAGUUUUGAAAUUAACCAUAUCGUAUGAUACAACAUGUAUUGUCUGAGCCUUUGAACCAUCCAAAUCAAUGCACAACAAAAUUUUUCAAUUGAAGGGUACUUUACUUCAUACUCUGUGAACUUCUUACUGAGGUAGUAAAUUACCUUUUCUCUUUUCCCCGACUCGUCAUACUGUCCCAGUACGCAACCCAUUGAGUUCUCAAACACGAUCAGGUACAAUAUUAAGGGUUUUCCAAGGGUCAGCGGUACUAGUACCGAAAGAUUAGAUAGAUACUGUUUUAUCUUGUCGAAGGCCACUUGGCACUCCUCGUUCCAUUCUCCCGGAUUAUGUUUUCGAAGGAGUCAAAAAAUUGGAUCACAUUGAUUGUUAAGUUGGGCAAUGAAUCGAGCAAUGUAAUUCAACCUUCCUAAAAAUCCUCUGACUUCCUUUUGUGUGCGCGGGGGAGGCAGUUCUUGUAUAGCUUUUAUCUUAUCUGGAUCAACCUCGAUACCUCUCACUGACAAUGAAACCUAGCAGUUUUCCUAAGGUAGCCCCAAACGUACAUUUGGCCGGGUUAAGCUUCAACUGGAACUUUCUUAAACUUUCAAAUAGCUUCCUGAGACUCCCAACAUGCUCUUUUUCUUCCCGGAAUUUGGCAAUCAUAUCAUCGACAUAAACUUCUAUUCUUUGUGCAUCAUGUCAUGGAUAGCAUCACCAUGGCUCUCUGAUACGUUGCCCCAGCAUUCUUCAAUCCGAAUGGCAUCACCUUAUAGCAGAACGCUCCCCACAUUGUCACGAAUGUGGUUUUCUCCAUGUUUUUGGGAGCCAUUUUUAUCUGAUUAUAACCUGAAAACCAUCUAUGAACGAAAAUAAAGAAUGUUUUGCCGUGUUAUCCACCAAUGUAUCGAUGUGUGGCAAGGGAAAAUUAUCCUUAGGGCUUGCUCAAUUCAGACCGCGAAAAUCCACACACAUUCAUACCUUACCGUCUUUUUUCGAUACUGGGACUAUGUUAGCUACCCAUUUUCGAUAUUUAGAGACUUGUAAGAAGCCGGCAUCAUAUUAUUUCUUGACUUCUUCUUUCAUCUUUAACAGCAUUUCAGGUCUCAUUCUUCUUAACUUUUGCUAAACGGGUUUGCAUUCUGGUUUCAAUGGGAGCCUGUGGACCACCACAUUGUCAUCCAACCCUAGCAUGUCCUGAUAAGAGCAGGCAAAUAGAUCUUUGUACUCACGGAGCAAGACGUUUAAAUUCUGUUUGGUGUUUUCUGAAAUGGAAGUCCCAAUAUUCACUUUUUGUUUUUUUCCUCACUACCCAAGUUUACUGCCUCAACAUAUUCUUGAUUGGGCAGGAUCUGUUUCUCUUCUUAUUCUACCAUUCUCAGUAAGUCGGGAGACGAGACAAAAUCUUCAGUAAAAUCUUCAGCAUCAUUCUUGGCUUCGAAUUCUCCUAAACAAACAGCCUUCUCGAAAUCGAUUUCAGGACUUGUAACUUGAUUGUUCAUACCAUGGAUAUUUGAGCACUUCAAAGGUGAAUGGGAAAUAAAACUAUAGAGGAGCAUCAAAGUAUUGGAAUCAACACACACAAUGUUAUAGAAUGAUAUGAGAUACAUGGAGAGAAAGGAUAUGAAGCGAGGGGGUAAUUAUGAAACUGAUGGAAAUGAGAAGAUCAUGACAAAAUGCAUCUUCAUUAAUGUUCAUUGAAAUGAUAAAGAACAAACAUAAGCUCUUACAAAAGGAAUCCCAUUACUUAGGGACACACAAAAUAGUGGAGAAUUAACAUUGGGCAUUACUCUGGAGAGGACAUAGAAACUACAAGGAGGUCCACAGCAGUCUAGUUGUUCAAAACAUAUCCUAGAGGACAAAGGCGUAUCAUCUCGAUUGCAUCAUCCUCGUUGUCAACAACAUUUAUGCUGAUGUUCUGAAAUCCCUUUUCAUUCAACGCGCUUUGCGGAUUAUCCUACCCCUCAUCUCCAUUUGUUACCGCAUUCACAUUCCCAUUAGCAUGGUUAGGAAGAGGAUUACUAACACCAUCAAAUCGCAGAAUGCCAGCAUCGAUGAAAUCUUGAACCCUCCUUUUAAAGGCAAGGUAAUUUUCUGUAGAAUGCCCCUGAUUUCCAGUGUGAUACAUGCAACUAGCAUUAGGAUCAUACCAUUUUGGGUAUGGGGGCUUUAGGGGUGCCAUGUAAUGCGGGGAUAUUAUUGCUUGUCCAACAGUUUCAGAUAUAACUCUCCGUAUGGCACGGAAAUUGGGUUAACUGAGGUUUUUCAGAAUUGAGUCUCGCUGGUCUUUGCUCAUUUUUGGGUUGGAUUUGUAUAGGUAUAGUGUUUGGUAGGAACAUGGUGAACGGACUUUGGUUAUUCAUAGCGUAGACGGGGUAAGAGGGAGGUGUUUGAUAGUAAGGACUUUGAGGAGGAAAGUAAAAGUUUGUAGGUGGGCGAUAACGAGGUCGUGGUUGGGCUGGGUACGGAUUAGAAAUACAGUGGAUCUCGGUUCCAACCAUAUGGGUUUCUGGCUCCUUUUUCUUUAUGGGUACUGCCCUCUUUGAACUCUCGGGACAUUCUAUUCUCCUACUCUUGAUGGCGAUUUCUAUAAGCUCCUCGAAAAUUACAAUGUCUGCAAAGUCCUCUGUGGCGCUCCCUACCAACUUAUCGUAAAAUAGAGCUUUCAAAGUGUUGAUGAAGAGGACCGUUAUCUCCUUCUUAGUUAACGGGGGUUCCACCUGAGCCGAGAUAUCCCUCCAUCUUUUUGCAUAUUGCCUAAAAGUCUCUGUUGGCUUCUUUUCCAUCAUCUGUAGCGUUAGUCGAUCGGGUACCAUAUCUGAUACAUGCUUGUAUUGCUCACAAAAUGCUGAUGCUAAGUCCUUCCAUGAUCGGAUCUUUUCUCUACUGAGCUGAUUGUACCAUCGAAGAGCCAAUCCAACCAAACUGUCCUGAAAGCAGUGUAUCAGUAACUUAUCCUCAUUCACGUAACCAGUCUUCUUCCUACAAAACAUAACAAGAUGUGCCUUUGGACAUUGUGUCGCAUCAUACUUUUCAAAAUCUGGUACCUUGAAUUUCGGGGGUAGAACCAAGUCGGGCACUCAAUACAGAGAAGACUUCAGUACCUUCUAUUGCUUUGAGCCUUUCUUCUAGGAUCUUAUACUUAUCUUAAGCGUCAUAAUCAUCAGUUUUCAACUUUGCUAUUUCCAUAGGAUCGUCUGGAUCUGGAACAAUUGGAUUUGCUGGAUUAGCCCCGGGGUUUGAUACGAAUAUACCUUGCUCGAGAUGAGCAGGUGGUACAGGACGUUGUUCUAGGACUGUAGGUUCCCCUUGAGGAUAUCCUCUUUGCAUUGCAUGAGUGUGAGGUGGAGUGAAUCCUGAGGGAUAGAGCGGAUCUUGAUCAUUAUUAGCUCUUGAUUGAGGCUCCACAAUAUCAGGGCUCUGCAUGUGUCCCUUUCCUUUGACCAAAGCUGUCAUCAUCUCCAUCAUUUUGGCCAUUUGAUCUCUUUGCUCGAGUGAUUCCUCUCGAGAUCUCACCAUCAUUUCUCCUGCAUCUUGUUGUGACUUGGCCAAUUGCUCUUGUAGCUCUUUUUGGAUUCUUUCCAUCCUUUCAAUUCUUUCAUUGAGUUCAGUAUCCAUAGCUCUGGUUCUUAGACGUGUCCUGUAAGGAUGACGUGACUCCAGACUUGUGUCGCAACUGUGGAUUAUACUGUUUUAGCCUCAGUGAAUGGUAAGGGUGAUAUGUACAUGCAAUGAAUGAAUGAAUGGAUGCUAGUCAUGCGUAAAUAUGCAAAAAUGGUGUUGAUUUUAAUAUAGCCCCAUAUUUUGGCGUUUCAUUUAUCAAAAGAGUCCAUUACAAAAUACUUUGCCAAUGAAGAUACCCCUAGUGCCUGAGUCUCACCGUUUCCAGAUCCUAGUCAAAUCUUCAGGGUUAUUUUGACGAGCAUUUGAAGCCGCCUUCCCGAAAAUAUCAGAGAUAUAUCUUUCCUUUAAACUGUCCCUUUUGCUUUUUGGGCCCUCAAAGACCAGCCUCUGACUACGGUAUUUUUUCUCGGUUAUUUACAUAAUUGACUCCUCCAAUCAGAAAGCCGUUUUUGGCAACCAAUCUCUAAUCAACACAUUCCUAAUGAGAUGCCUAUGAUGCAUGAUGAAAAAUAAAAUGAAGACAAAUAAACUUAGUUAGCAAUCACGACAAAUAUAAACAAAGGAAAACUAUGGAAAAUCCAACAAACUGACCUUCUUUUUUUUGUUUACCCCAUCAUGCUUUACAAAAUAAACUUACCCUACGUGCUCAUCAAUUUACCAGAUACAAAUGUAAAUGUAAAAGAAAUACAAGGUAAGAAACGUUUCUUCCAUGUACUUAUUUUGGUGACUAUUCAACGGACAGAGGUUCGGCAUGGCUCUAAUUGUGUGGCUCGUACGGUUCACUAUAUGUGGUUUUGGUUCUAGAAAGGUACUCGAACUGUCCAUACUGUCACCUACUAAGGUUAGUACGGAGCCUCGGUUAUUGCCCGUCAUGGGCUUGCGAGCUCAAUUCGAGGGAUUACAUUUACUUAUGCCUAUGCGGAGGGACAAGAUUUUUGAAAACACGAAAAUUUUUGAAACACUGGAAUUUUGAAAACACGAAGAUUUUUGAAACAUGAGAAUUUUUGAAAACACGAAAUUUUUUUUAAAAACACAGAAAUUUUUGAAACACGAGAAUUUUUUUUGAAAACACGAAAAUUUUUGAAACACGAUUUUUUUUAAGAAGUACCGUAUUUAACACGAAUAAAUGAUAUUCAUCCCUACAUGGCGAUGAAAUCGUCGAAUUAGUGUCAAAUCGAUUCAACUUAAUAUCUAAUUGUGAUUCUAUUAAACACGAGAAUUUAAAAAACACGAGAAUUUUAGAAUAUUUUCGAUUUUUUUAAAAGGGCGUAUCGUGUUGAACACAAACCGAUGAUAUUCACCCAACAUAGCGAUGAAAUCAACGAUUAAUGUUAAAUCGAUUCGUUGCCUUAUUUAUUGAAAUUAUUUAAAUUUAAAAUAAAAUUGAAAUUAAAUUAAAUUAAAAAUAUAAAUACAAAAAUAUAAAAAUGCAUAAAGUGCUAAUAAUAUUAAAACGAAAUAGCAUAAAAAUACGAGUAUUAAAUUAAAAGUGAAAUAAACGAAAUUACCUAAAAUGUCUAAAACACGAGCUUGGUCGAACGGGUUACGCAAAUUGAAUCCCUUUUUUCUUUUUCCCUUUUUUUUCUUUUUUCUUUUUCUUCUUUUUUUUCUCCUUUUUUUUUCUGCUGGGCUGGCCUGUUGGACUUGGGCUUGCUGGGCCGCGUCACUGGGCCUGAGGGGCUGUUGGAACGGGCCUGGCCUGCUGCUGUGCUGCUGGGCCUGAGCUGCUGGGCUUGGACAAUCCUGCUGUUUUUUUGCUGCUGCUUUUGUUUUUUACUACUACUAUUUUUUUGGGCUGAUCUGCUACUGUUGGGCCUACUGGGCUGAUGGGUCGGGUGCGGGUUGUAUCGGGUCGAGUCAGUUUGGCCCGGCUGUUAAAAUUUUUAUUUUCUUUUUCUUUUUUUCUUUCUAUUUCUUCUUUAUUUUUUCUUCUUUCUUUCUUCUCUUUUUCUCCUUUUUCUUCUUCUCCUUCGGCAGCCCCGACGUCACUCCCCCCAGCCCGGUACGACAGUAGACGACGGCUGUGGAGCUCUCCUCUCCCUCCUCCCUUAUUCUUUUUUCUCUUCUUUCUUCUUUCUUCUUUACUGUUUCUUUUUGCUUUGUCUUUUGCUUGCUGCUUUUUCUUUUGUUUAUGCUUACUUGGUUCUUGGCUUGGGUUCAGCGGUGGAGCAAUGAUGGUGGUGGUGCAACAAUCGUGGUGGCGGUGGGAGAAAUCGACUAGAUUUGAGAGCUCUUUUUUUGAAAUUUUUCUGCUAAUUUUUCUUUUCUUUUUUUUUCUUGGCUGCCCAUUUUUGGGGUUUUUAAACCCUUUUUAUUUUGAUUUUUCUUCUCCUUUUUUGCAUGUUGCAGGUGGCUAGGCAGGGGUAGGCCGGCCGCCGCCUGUUGCAAGCGCAAGUUGCGCUGGUUGCUGAAGAGGGACCAAAAUGUAAAUGCAGUAAAAGUUUUAGGGUCGAAACGUAAUUUUAAGAAAUUUUAAGGGUUAAAAUGUAAUUUAGAAAAGUUUAGGGGUUGAAAUGUAAUUUUGAAAAUUUUAGGGGUUGAAAUGUAAUUUUAAAAUAGUUUAAGGGUCAAAAUGUAAUUUUAAAAAAUUUAGGGGUCAAAAUGCAAAUUUUUUAAUUAAUUAAAAAAACACGAAAUUAUUCCCGGACAAAAUUUAGUGAUUACAAAAGGGGAAAAAAGAAAGAAAAGAAGGGAAAUACACAGGGCUUAGGGACUUAGGAGUUCAAGCUGAAAUUGGUUAGUGCAAUUUAGUCUUUUUUUGUAAUUUUUACGUUUUUGGAAUCCUGAUACUUAGGCUUAGUCAACCCGUGUUGCAAUUUUAAGUAUUGUUUAGAAUUUUAGAUGUUACUGUUGUUGUAUAGGUUAAGUAUUAGGGAUUAAAUUGAUAGAUUUUUAAGUUAAAAGUGAAAAAGGACUAAAUAGUGAAGUAAUUCUUGAUUUUGAGUAAUAGGAACUAAAUUGUGAAAAAUUGAAAUUUAAGGGUAUAAUUUAAAAUAGGGAGUUAAAUUUAGUUUAAAGUGAAAUGAGUAUGAAAAUAUAAAAUUUAAUGUGAAGAUUACAAAUUAAUCUCGAUUUAAAGACUAAAUUGAAAUUUAAGCAAAUAUUGUGUAAAAAAUUUAAAUAUUCAAUGUGGAAUCGAAUUGUGUAGUAUUAAUGUAUUUUAAUUGUUUUAAUUCUAUAGCUAAUGUCGUAUCGGAAUCUUCAACUAAAAAGGGGAAGGAUAAAAUCAACGUUAAAUAGCUCAGAAUCCAUGAUUUGUGUUUCUAUAAUCCGAACUAAGUUGUAAAUUAUUGCAUUUUGAAUUAUUGCAUAUGGUAAGAAUUGGAGGUGAUAAUUAUUAUGUUUUACGAUUGAAUUGAAUUCAUAGUUGAUUGAAUUGGAUUGAUUUGGUAUAUGUUAUAAAUGUAUUGAGUAUUUGGAAAUUGAAAUGAAUAUAUGUUGAAAUAUGAUAAUGUGCAAAUAUGAGAAUUGGAUAUUGGUUGUAUUUGAAGAUUGAAAUGAAACUCUAUUAACUGUAUCGAGCUGAGUCGGAUAUGGUUGGAAUACCAUAGGAUAGGAAGAGUUCACCGAUUUCUUCGACUUCGAGUCGAUGAGGCACUUUGUGCCAAACUGGUGUGUUGGUUGUAUCCGUGUAUCCGUCCAAGUCUGAGUCGUGUUAAUAGGGAUAAAUAAAUAAUAAAGUUCUAUAAUUGAUAUUGAAAUGACAUGGUAUGUGAAAUGGAAAUGAGAAAGUGAAUUGAAAAAUGAAAGGUGGAAUAUAUUGUGAACAAAUGAACUAAAUGAGUUAUGUACUCAUGAAUUGAAUAUGGAAUGAAUAAUGCCAUAAUAUAAAUGAAAUGUGGAUUGAUAUGUGAAAAGUUAUUUAUAUAGCAAUUGAUGUAAAUUGAGAUAUUGUUAAACAAAUCCAAUAUGAUAACAUGUGAAAAUUAAGUAUAGUAUGAAAUGAUGUGGUAAUAUGUAUGAAUUUGAAAUAGUGAUAUCUUGUAAUUGUAAGCUUAGACAAUAGUAUGUUGUAUAAUUCAAUUUGAACAUUCAAUAUCAUUAUGACAAUGUUUGGAUUAUAGAAAUAUUACUGAGUUUUACUCAUCGUGUGGUUUUCUUUAACGUGCGCAGGUUAGGUAUUUCUCCUUUGAUCAUCGACUUAGCAUCCAACAACGAUCUCGAUCUCAAGUGCAGUGAUGUUUACUUUUUGUAAGGGCAUGUACCUAGGAUGUCUUAGUUGAUAGUUAUUUUGUGAAUGGAUUGUAAUUUGAGUUAUAAGUAUAAUGUUGGUUUGAGUAUAUAAGUAUAUGUUUAUGUUUGAAGCCAUAAUUUGGCAUGUAGUUUUAAACCAAUGCUUGUUAGGUGUAAGUGAACUUAAGCUUGAUGUUUUAGAUAGCUAUACGUUAGGCUAAAUUGAGUGAUUUUGGCAUGCUUAAAAUCUUGAUUUAAAUGAUGCAUUGUUGAUAUGUUUUGAUGAUAUAAAAUGUGGUACCAAUGAGGGUACAUUAGUUAGACACCUAAGAUGAUUGUUUUGGCAUGUUUUAAGUAUGUUUGAUCGUAUUUUGAGAAGGUUAAAUGAUUGGUUUUUGAGUUGCUUCAUGCCCAAGCAACUAGGAAAUGGUAAACUUGUUGUUUAAGGUACAUUUUGGGUCUACACGGCCAGACACAUGGGCGUGUGACUUGGCCGUGUGAGACACAUGGCUUAGCGACACGGCCAUGUGUCAUCUGAUGAGUGCUUAGGGUGCAAGUCAGUUAGCAUAUGGCCUGGUACACGGGGCGUGUAGGUCUAUUUUGAGAGUUACACGGCCUGACACACAGACGUGUGACACGACCAUGUGACCUUACUUAGUGAGUUACACAGGCUGAGACAUGGUCGUGUGUCUCAAGUUCAAAUGUUACACGAGCAAGGACAUGGGCUGGGACACGGCCGUGUGUCCCUAUUUCGAUUGUUACACUGCCUGAGACACGGGUAUGCGUCUUAGCCAUGUGAGGCAUAUGACUGUGCGACCCUUAUUUUCAAAUUUUUGUGAAUUUUUCUUAGGGUUUUCAAAUGAAUUCAAAUCGGUCUAAUUUUUUUCUAAAGUAUUUUUAGGGCCUUGAGGGCUCGAUUUAGGGACAAUAUGUAUAUGUAUGAAUGGUUUAGGUUCUGUUUAUAACAUUGAGUGAAAUUAAAUAUAAAUAUUUUGAUUGUACAGUAAUUCUCAUAACCCUAAUUUGAUGACGGAGAGGGGUUAAGGGUGUUACAUUUAAAUUAACUAAAUUAUGUACGAGCUAUAUAUGGAACUCACUCCAAUACCUUGAACAAUUUCCACCUUGGGUCUGUAGAAUUAACUGUAAUUGACUCUGUUUUUUUAAAUAAUACAUCUUGUAAGUAUAUGACAGCAUUAAAACAUUGUCAUAUAAUCUGCUAAUGAUUUCCCUAGACCUAUUAAAGUGAUGCUUGAUAACUCGAUUUUUAAGGUGAUGAAAAUGAUAUGUAAAAACAUUGCCACUUUCUCAUCAACAAGCAUGUUCCUUGAUGACAUCAAUCCCUCUAAAAUUUGUAACAUCUCACAUAGUUUAAAAAAGGUAAUUCUAUUCAUCCUAACUUGUUCAAUACAUGUCUGGUCACUAACAUAUACAAGUCUUUUCACAUAAUCUAGUUUUGCAUAAAAAUCUAAAUAUAUGAUCUAAUCCUUGGUCUAUAAGUAUGUAGGCUAUGGAUGGCACCCAAUGUAACUAAGAACCAACCCGCAACUGUACACAUUUGCAACCAUACUAUCAAUGUAAGAUCAAUUCUUUUACGCCUCUCACUUUGUAUUAUUAAAGGCAGACGAGCCAUUAUUGUAAGAUAUUAAAGUGUUACAUAUCUUCAAAUUAUAGUAAAAUGAUCACAUUUCUUCAAUACUAAUUUUAAUAAUAGUAAAACAAAAUAAAAAAUUUAAUAACCAAAGAACUUAUAGUGAUUUAGUGAAUACAAGAAGCUCAACUGUGGGUGGAGGAAGCAAUCAAGCAAGCCAAAGAAGAAGAGGAAGAAAUAACACAUAGUCAAAGAAAAAUGAACAAUACGUAUUAAGAAUCUUUGCAAAGCACAAAAUAGAAAUUAUAACUAUCUUUGCAAGUAAAACUUGAAAUUCAUUUCUUUAUCAAAUUUCAUUCAACAAAAUCGACUCUUUGUUUGGCAAAUAAUAAUGUCUUGAACAAAAAUUAUAGUUAGUUUAAAAUAAAAAUUAAUGAUGAACAUCUAAACUUGAAAUACAUCCACAUCCAAAUUACAUAAUUUCCAGUUUAUAGAAAUAUACAUAUAUUAUAUGAAUUUUUAAAAAAAUUCAAUAUUUAAUUUACCCUUUAAUCUUGUAUUCAUCCUCACAUUGUAAUUAACUAAAUAUACAAAUAGUAGCCACGUAUGGUGGGAUUCGAACUUAGGUGCUUAAGGAUGGUGGGAUGCGAAGUUAAUUUUAAUCUUAUAACCACCAUAAAAGGAUGGUGGCAAAAGCGUCUUUGAUUAAUGUGUCAAAUAGCUAAUUUAUAAUUUAUAUAAAAAUAAAUCAAAUUACAAACCCUUCAAAUAUGCCCUAUUUAGAUUUAAAUUGGUGGGUUUAAUUUUUUUUUUGAAAGAACAUUUAAUUACUUAUUUGGGUUUAUUUCAUGUUUGGACUUGAAAAGUAAAAUGCUUGGAUAAGGGCUUGGGUUUAAGUAUUUUAAUUAUGUAUAUAAUCUAAUCAUUUCAAUUGUCUCUUUAAAUCAAAUGAAAUUAAUUUGGAUCAUCCUUGGAAUCUUAAUCUCGAAUACCAGAAUAGAAAGAUAAUUUGUUUUUGACGUCCUAGAGAAAUCUAGCGUGGGGAUAUUAUUAUUUUCUUCAUAAAGUAAACCGAUUUACAUGUCACAAAGCAUCCCAUGCACGUGUCUAUAGAGAAUCAACUUUUAAUCCUACUUGUAAUCUUUUCAACAAGAGGGUGGAAGUCACUAUAUCUCAAAUUCCUAGUUACUAAUGGUACAACAAGGUACCUAACUAGGAGAGUUCCAAAUUUCAGGCCAGUAGGUUCUACAAUUUCUUACACCUUAAAAUAAGCAAUUAACUUUUCACCAACAUAACUAAGUUCGUUAGAGUUAGAACAAAAAACAUGGAAGCUAGACUAUUAGAAUACUAGGUUUUCACACACAGCAAUACCAACUAAAUCUAGUAAAGACGCCUCGAUAACUUAGCAUUUUUGUUUUCAUUGACCAUACCAUAUAUAAGAUGGUCCAGAAAUUGAUCCACCUUGCAUAUUCGAACUUGUGACAUUAAUUAGAUGAUGAAACAUGAUCAUGCAAUGUAACACCACAUGAAGUAUGGAGUAUGAAGUAGUGGAUCCUAAUGAACACAUUCUCCUUUAAGAUCAUCCAUUGAGAUCUCAAGCACAUAGUGCGUGUGAAUCCUUCUAAAGCAAUCUUGGUACCUUGAGUAACAAUAAGCUCCAAAGAAACAAACUAUCGAGCAAAUAAAGAGCAAUAGAAAAUAAUUCAAGAACUACUCUGAUCCAAGACAGUAGAUUUCACACUAGAUCGAAUCCAUUUACCAAAUUGAAUUUACUCAAGAGCAUCAAUAAUUAAUAGAUCAAGCUAUUUUACUAAUCUAUGACUAGCAAAGAAAUAAAUAGCCACAUUCACAUCACUUCAAAUUAAGAUUAACAAAUUUAAUGUAUUGAAACUAGAAGUAGCACAAAUGAACAGAUUGAAACUCAUUCAUCAGACUAGAUUAUCAAAGUGCACCAACUAGACCCAAUAACGUUCAAGAAUAAUAGAAAUAGAUGAAAAUCCUCCAAGCAGAGCAUAAAAGGCACAGAAAAUUAUCAACUACAAAUGCCACCAGAUUUAGCAAAUACCUUCAAAUGAAGAUAGACAACCACCUUAAAACACUCAAAGAUAUAUUGAUAAACCAUCUAAAUUGAUCAAUCACCCUAAAACAACCAUAGAUGUAUCAUAUCUAACCAACAAUAUAUUCUAACAACUAAAUAUUAUCGAAAACUUGAAAACAAACUCAUAAAAAAUAGAGAUUUCAACAUUCUCCAGUUGAUGCAUAAAACAGAGUGAAAUUUGGGAAAAAAAAAAGAAAAACAUUUUAUCUGAAUUAACUCUGUUAACAUGAUGAGGCUGUCCAACUAGGUUGUCAUUAGUUGAAUCCUUUUUGCUAGUUCUUUCACACUGCCCCCACUAUUACUGCCUUCCUUGUUUGAUGAUCCAAAACAAGGAAAACACCCACCCAUAAUCAAACCCCAGAAUUAAAAAAAAACCCAAAAUUUAAUACAAAAUGAAGGCAAAUAAACAAAAUCGAUUUACAUGAAAAACAAGAUCAAAGAAGAGGUAGAAAGGCUAAACUCACUGAAAGCCUAGUAGGAUAAAAAUUUAGAUCCAAUAAGGGAAGAAGACUAACAACAGAGACUGAAAUGGUGAAGUAAACUGUAACAAAAAAAGGCAGAAAAAUAUUAUAGGUAAGAAAAAAUGGUAGAGAGGAAAAUGAAAGGAGCAUCGGGAAGGAGAAAUGUUUACCUGAAGGACGCUGGUUGAAGGAGAAGAGUGUCGGAGUCGAAGGAAGUAAGGAAUGGUUGUCGUUUGAGUGUUUUUGAUGUGAGAAUUUGGUGCGGGUAAGAUAGGGUUCUUCAAGCAUCGAAUCAGUAAUCGGUGGAGAGGGAAGGGAAUAGAAAUCACCAAAUUUCCCUGCAUAAGCCUAGAAUGUAAUACACCCGUAAUAGGGUAUUCUAUUGAACCGAACAACUAUUUGCAUAGGCUUGCAGAAUAGACUUGUAAUGGCAUAGCCAUUACAUUAAACCAAAAAUCCCCUUAGGGUCUUCUCUGGAAAGGAGACAUUUUGUUUGUAAAAACAAUCAUAGGGUCAUGAUCAGAUAAAGCAACCGACAAAUUGAAAACUGAGAUUUUUGUGCAAUUUUUGAAAUAGUGGUAGUUAGGAAAUGCCAUGUCAAAUCUUUCCUAAACAACAUCAUUUUGUUGUCGAUUGUUUGCCCAAGUGAAAUAGGAGUCCUUAAAAGGUAUUUCAAAGAGGAAGUAACCAUUAAUGUAUUAUAGUAAAUCUUAAGCUCCUUUUAAAUCAUUAGAAAGAUUAGAGAACUUGUCUUUGUACCAAAUGGCCUAAUUGCAAUCACCCAAUACUAUCCAACCUUCAUUAUCUUUAACAAUUUCGGAGAAAUCCAAGAGCUGUUCCCAAACAUUAUGUCUUCCACACAGCUUAGGUUUACCAUAAAUGUAAGAAAUCUAGGUUUUUAAGUUAUUGUCCUCCAUGUAGCAAGAAAUGAAGUUUUCAUUAAUAGAAAUGACAUUGCACCUAACAUUUUUACUCCAAAAUAAAACUGUCCCCCCACUACUAAAGCCUUUGUGUUUUGUGCCAACAAAAUAUCCAAAUUUCUAUUAGACAACAUCUUUCUAAAACUCAUAAAUGCUUAUUUACCUAAAUGAAACAUUUCAAUCUUAUGCUAUAUACAUAUAUAUUAUAUACAACUCAUGUACCAUAAAUAAAAAUAACCAUUAUAUCCAAAAUACCAAAUCGACAACUUACCACUUAAAAUCGGUUCAAUCUUGGGUACAUGCCACAUAUUGAAACAUAAAGAACUGUAUGAACAUUUCUUAGUCGAAAGUUGCAAUUUCGAUGUUAGGUCAAGUCUCGAGUCUUUAAGAUCUACUAAUACUUGUGCACAGAAUAAAAAGUAGAACGUUGAGCGAGAAAGCUCAGUUGUACUUCCAUGAUUUAAAUCAGUAUAAAUGAAAGCAUUAAUAUGAAAAGAAUAUAAUCAAUGUAUGAUCAAGUUUCAACCCUUUCAAUUACCUUUCAUGUACCAAAUACCAAGAUUAUGCACAAUCUCAUUUUACGAGCCAUAUGCAUAUUUCAUAUGUAUGAAUACAUGAUAUAUGUAACACCCUUAACCCGAUUCGAUUUGCUAAAUUUAAAUUUUAGGUAUUAACAUACGAGUAUAGACAAAAAUUUAAUCUACUUAUACAAUUUUCAAUUAAAUACAAAUUAACUUCAAACAGACUCGAACUAAUUUACAUAUGUAUAUACAAUAAGUAAAUGCAACUGCAGCAUGUGGUAAUUUAAUUACAAAAAAUAUCUGAAUUGAGAUCCUAUUCUAUUACAGCCAUCCCAGAAUAUGGAUUUCUAAGUAAUCUUUCAGACUUUGAACAUGCCACCAAACACGUUUUGUAUGCAUAAUAACUCGAUAUACCAUUUCUUUUGGCGUAGUCACAGUAUGGUCCCUCCUAGCGUAGAACUUAGUGAGAGUUACAACAUUUACCUAUGUGUUAAUUGCACAUUGUAGUCGAUGAAUCGAAAUGAUGAUCUUAUUGUUCUUGCCCUUGAACCUGUCUUUGGCGAAUACUUUUCUCAAAUUUCAUUAUUCAUAUACCAUAGAUAUCAUGCCUCCCUCUAAAAUAAUUUCUUUUCCCAUUAAAGUCUUUAAUACAUUACGCAUGUCUUUCCAUUUGAAUAUUUAUAAAUCUUUAUUUAGUACACGCUUCAAAUUCUAACCCAUUCUUAUCUAAAUCUCUUCAAUUCAUUAUUUUCAAUCGAACCAUAGUCUCAUAUAAUACCUUACCGUAUAGGCCAUGGAUUCAUUACACCUUACUGAUUUUACAGAUUACACUUAAAGUUCAUUUUGAAUAUGCCAACCUAGUCAUUCCUUAAGGUGCACCACAAAGACUAUGAUAACACCCUAAACUCGUAUCUGUUGCCAGAAUAGGGUUACAGAGCAUUACCGUAAAAAAAUAUAAGUUUGAAACAUACACUUCAACAUAAACAUAGCGUAAAUCAUUCAUCAACAUGCAUAUCGUCCCUUAAUCGAGCCUUUGAGGCCUUAAAAACACUUUAAAAACAAUUUGAGACUAAAUCGAAAAUGUUUUGAAACUCACAUGGCCGUGUGACUCACAUGGCUGAGACUCACGCCCGUGUCUCAAGCCCUCUAUCAAUCAAAUUAGGGACACAUGGCCGUGUUUCAGCCUAUGUCCGUUCCCGUGUAACUCUCUGAGUUGGAUCACACGGCCAAGCCACAUGCUUGUGUACCAUGCCAUGUAACACUCAAAAUGGCCUUACACGCCUAUGUACCAGGCCGUGUGCUAGGCUGUGUAACUGACUGACUUCAAUCCAUUAAAAACCUACAAUGGGACACACGACCAUGUCACAUGGUCGUAUGUUACACAUGGCUGAGACACACGCCCGUGUCUUAGGCCACGUGGAUAAGGAAUUGACCAAAAUCAAGCCAUUUCCUUCACCAAUUUCAAGCAUGUACCUACUAGCCAUUUGCACCCUUAACCAAAGCAUCUAAACAUACCAAUUAAAGCAUAAAACAACUAAUUCAAUGAACCAUAAAUCCAUCCAACCAAUAUGCAAACAAGGUACCUCAAAUGUAUUCAACCAUAUCUCACCUAAACAUGGAAACAUUACCACAUUUCAUACAUACCUAUCAAGAUCAAUACCAUUUUAGAAUUUACCAUAUUUUGACCAAAUCAAAACUAUUCCAACACAUACCAUAUUGGCUUUAAAAUCAUGCAUUAUAUCUUAACCAGAAUGACACAUACCAUCAAGGUAUCAAAAGUUCCAUAAGUACCAAAAGUUUACCAACCAUAAUAACACAUACUAGAAAGGCAUCAAUAAGUACCAAAAUGACAUUAACCAACCGACAUCAAAUGGUACUAAAACAACUUAUACAUGCCAGCAUCAUCAACUAACAUCCAAUUAGAUACUGAAACAAGUCCUCCUAUACAUGCCAUUAUAAUCUUAUCCAAAACAUCAAAACUACCGCUAUAAUCGUUAGAUGGUGUGAUAGAUCUCAGACAAGCUUUCAACUGAUCGAGCUUCCGAUAAUCUGUAAAGUAAAGAAAAAUAACUACGUAAGCAAUGAAUGCUUAGUAAGCUCGUAUAAACUUUUAACAUAACAUUCCAUUUCAAUAAUGAGUUUUAUAGGGUAAAUAUAAACCUAUACCAAUGCCACAAGAUUUAUAAAACUAUAUAACCAUAAACUCACAAAUGAGUAAAUCCCUUAACAUUACGUAUACUUUUUAUUCAUAACAUAAUAAGAUCUUAUAAUUUGUAUUACAUAAUCAACAACCUUUUCUUAAGAGGAUGAACCAUUCCAUUUACUUAGCAUAAGCUUAAAUAACAUUAUCAAUUCACAAAUUAGUGUGUUUAUUCAUAACAUAGGUAAAUUCAUCUAUAGCAUAAGUAAAUUUCUCAUAUAUAAGUAAGUUCUUUAACUCAUCAUCCAUUUAACUCAUCAUAAUAUAUCUCAAUUAUGAACUUACCAUUUCUGUAACACCCCUUACCCAUAUUCGACACCGGAAUAGGGUACGAGGUAUUACCAGAACACGUACACUUGUAAACGUAUUGAACCGAGUUAUAAAAUUCCAUUAAUUAUUAAAAAUUUCAAAUUAUUAACAUGCUUUUAUAAUUCUUCACAAUAUAAAUAAUGCAACAUUUCCUACCAACCACAAUCGAGCUUCCGAUAAUCAUCUCACUGCAUCUAAUAAUUGUACAUAUUACCAAUAAUAAUUCAAUUUCAAUAAUAAAACACAUAUCUAUAUAAUAUUCAUCAUCAAAUAACAUUCAAUUUAAUUAAAGUUAUGCAGAAUAUAGUUCAUACGAACUUAUCAGGCUAAAUUACAGAAAUACCAAAAUUUAGGGACAUUUUGGUAAUUUUAUAUUUUCUCGAAUUUCCACCCAAUCUUGAUCUAAAUUAAUAUUUCAUUUAAUUUACUAAUUUAAAUAAUAAAACAAUUCAUUUCAUGCAAUUUGGUCACUUUUUGACAUUUUUUACAAAUUUACCCUUAAAGUUUCACAUUUGUUCAAUUUAGUCCCUGAACCUAAAACAUGUAAAUUGGUCAUUUUUAAUGAAAACUCAGGCUAGUUGAAUAAUCAUAUAUUUUCCUCCUCCUCCUCUCCAUUCCACAUCCUUAAUGUAUAUAACAUGCUUAUAGGUAACAUUAGCUAUAAUUUCACCAUUUACUUAUAAAUUCAUUCAAAGCAGUCCACUUGAGUCAUAGCCACUAAAUUAUUUAUAUCUUGAGCUACAGAACUCAAAAUUAAUAUAUGUUAAUUUUAUUUGAAACUAGACUCAAAUAUCGUCUUACCAUAAAAUUUUCAGAAUUUUUGGUUUAGCGAAUAAGUACAGUUUAUUUUUUAAAUUCAUCCCUGUUCUGCUGUCUGACAGUUCCAACCCUUCUUCACUAAAAAUUAAUUAUCUCCUCGUACAGAAUUUGAAUGAUGUUACCAUUUGUUUCUAUUGAAAAUAUACUCAUUAAGUAUUUAAAAAUAUAAAUUUAAGCCUCUAAUUAUUUUUCUCCAAUUUUUGAUGAUUUUCCAAAGUCAGUACAGGGGAACCCGAAAUCAUUCUGACCUUAUCUCACAAAACCUAUUAUAUCUCAUAAUUUACAAUUCCAUUGCUUACACUGUUUCUUCUAUGAGAAAAUAGACUCAAUAUUAUUUAAUUUCAUAUUUUUUCCAUCCUAUAAUUCAAUUUAUACGAUUUUUGAUAGAUUUUCAAAAUCAGACUACUGCUGCUGUCUCAAAACUGUUUUAGUGUAAAAUGUUGAUAACUAAAUUUAUAACAAUUUCCUUUCCUUUCUCUUCAAUAUUUUCCAUCACUUUCUCUUAUUUCCCUUUACUAACAUAACAAGAAUAUAGAACCUUAUAUAAUGAAACUCUACCUUAACAUUAAUUUCCUACUUUUUCAAUAAUAUCAAACUCAAAAGUAUAUAAAAAUCUUGAUGUUCUUACCUUAUGCCAUUGAUUUCAAUCUUUAACUUGAUUUUCUCCCUCCUCCAGCUUCUAUUUCUUGAAUCUAACUUGAUAUUCUAGCUCCCCAUAGUCUCCUUGUUAUCUUUCUCUCUUGAUGAAUAUGGAAAUUCUUUUGAUUUCUAAGUGAAAAUGGUGAGUUUUUGGUAAAAGGACCAAAUUGUAAAGAAAAGAAAGUUUCUCUCUUUCUUUUCUCUUUAUACGAUAGUUGCAUGGGAAAGAAGAUGAUGAUUCUUCAUCUUUUCUUCCAUAUAUUUACACUAAAUAAAAUAUCAUUUAAAAAUCAAAUUAAAAUAUUAAUAAACUAAUAUUUAUUUAUUUAAUCUAAAAUAUCUCCAACAUCAUCAUUAUUUUCUAGAUUUCUAUUUCUUCUAAUUGACCAUUUUGCCCUUUAGAUCUUUUAAAAUUCCAUCCUUGAGUCGUCACUUAAUUUGGUAAAAUUACAAUUUAGUCCCUCAUAAUUCUUCAUCUAUUCAAUUUGGUCCCAAUUCAUCCAUCUUCCUUAGUUUCUUGAUUAUUCCACCCUUAAAAUAUUUACACUAUUGGUCCUUCAAAUUUUUCAUAUUUACACUUUAACCCCUCAAAUUUUGAGUAUUUACUCUUGGGUAACAAAACUUUUCUCACUUUUGAAAUUUAAUCCUUUCUUGAAUUAAUAUGUCAUAAUAUACUUUCCAAUGUUGACAUAACUCAAUUACCUUUUUUAUCACGUUAUUUCCUUAUUUCACCAUAUCAGGGAUAUUAUCUUACUUUCUUACUGUAGUAAUUUUCGGAGUAUUACAAUUUCAUAGCUAAUUAACCCUUCUAGCUUCUAGAAUUCAAAUUCUACAUUUUAUACAAAUAGGUCCUUUCCUUACUUAAUCACUAAAUCAUAUCAGUAUUUUCAUGCAACCUUCCUAUCAUAAUGCAACCCAUGUCAUAAUUUUAAAAUAAAUUUUUCCUUGUCGGAUUUGUGGUCCCGAAAUCACUGUUCCAUCUAGACCCAAAAUCGGUACACAAUACAAGACAUAAGCAUAAAAAUCAACCAAUUACACAAGCUUGACACAAGCCUAAAUAUUAUCAUCGAUACACAAGUUAGUGCAUUUAUACAUAACUCUUUUAGAAUCAACCACGUGAUAAGCCAUUUCAUAAGAAAAUAUAUCUUUUGAUUCAUACAACAUUUUCAUGCACAUAAGCAUAUUUCCACUUGGAUACUUACCAUUUCUAUGUAUAUCAUUACAAUUAAGCAUGGUAUAAUCCAACCAUAAGCUUAGCACAAGCCUAAGCAUCAUCCACAACACAUGUUAAUGCAUCAACUCAUAAUUCGCCUGAAAUAACAUGAGGAAAAUCAUUAUACAUGAACAACAUCAUUUGAAAUCAUCAAUUUCAUGAACAUAAGUACUAAACAUUUCCUUUUCAAUCCUUUUCAUAGAUUCAUGACAUAAAUUAUUUGAACACUUACAGUUCCUUUCCUUUCCAUGCCUGUUGAACCACUUAGAAUAAUAUUGGAUACACAGGAAGGCUCACACAAAGUGUGCUAAACAUAUGGUCGAAACCAUUUUUCUUUUCUUUUACAUCGUUACUCACUCGAGCCAUAAAAUUGGUCUGCUCAAACAAGUUGACGGUCGGAAUGUAAGCUACACGAUGCCGUUCACACAAGCUGAUGAGCAUCCGCAACAAAUGCAGGACCUUAGCCAUCGAUAGGACAUUCAAGACCAGCACCCAAAACAUGGUAACCCCCAAUGACAUGUCAUUUGUAUCCUAUAUAUUCCUAAAGUUCAAAUAGGGCUCCAGAAUCUUCAAUUCAUCAUAGCAUUGAUAUAUUUAUACAUAUUGAUUCUUUUACAUCAAAGCAACAUAAUAAUUAUUCAAUCGAAGCAACAAUAAAGCAACUAGAGUUCAUACGAACUUACCUGACUAAAUUGUGGCAAUGGUUAAGUACAAGGGUUAUUUGGUAAUUUUCUCUUCUCCUUUAUUUCCACUCGUUCUUAAUCUAAAUUAAAAUUUUCAUUCAAUUCAUUAAUUUAGAUAGCAAAACCAAUUCAUUUUAUGUAAUUUAUUCUUUUUUAAAAAUUUAUAAAAUUACCCCUAAUAUUUUACUUUAUUUAAUUUAGUCCCUAAGCCUAAAACAUGCAAAUUAACCAUUUUUACUCAAAUUUGAGCUUAGUCGAAUUUAUAGGAACCUUACUACAUCCCAUAUUUAAUGUUAUUAUAGAUUAAAUCCUUAUACUUUUACUAUUUUAACAAUUUAGUCCCUAAUGGGUAAAUUCAUCAAAAAUCGCUUAACAAAUUACUUAUAAAUAACAAUUAAUACUUUAAAUUCAUCAUUUUACAUCUAGAAUUAAAAAAGAUUCAUUAAUGGAAAAAUUCAAAAUCUUUAACAGUUUCAAAAACGAAGGUACGAGCUAGUUAGACCUAGUUGCAACGAUCUCAAAAACAUAAAAAUUACAAAAAAUGAAUUAAGAAAUCAUAUCAUGCAUGAGUAGCUAAGAAUGUCCAAAAGCUUAAAGAAAACUCCCAUGAAGCAUUCGGUUCCAAAAUAGAAGAAAAAUGAUGCUUAUGUUUCUUUAUUUGUUUCUUUAUCUUUUAAUAAUAUUAUAACAUAUAAAACACAUAAAAUAUUAAAAAAAAUUUAAAGCUUUAACCGUCCACCAACUUAAGAAUGGGUAAUUUAUCCAUUAAGGCCAUCCAAUUAUGUUUCUUUAAUCAAUUAACACCUUUAAACUAAUAGCGAUUGACUUUUUCAACUAUUAUGAUUUAGUCCUUUUUGCUUAAUUAACUAUCUAAACAUUAAAAUUUCCUAACGAAACUUUAAUACAACCUUAAUAACACUUCGUAAAUAUUUAUAAAAAUAUUUACGGUUCGGUUUAUAGAAACGAGGUCCCAAUACCUCAUUUUCUAAAACCACUUGACUUUAGGGCAUACCACUUGAACCUAAUUGUUCUUCUAUUUAACUCAAAUAAUUAAAUAAAAUUUUAUCAAUACAUAUAUUAUUCAUAAAUAUUAAAUAAUAAUAUUUAUGGACUCACACGUCGGAUUUGUGGCCCCGAAACCACUGUUCUGACACCACAAAGAAAUGGGUUGUUACAACUAUUCUUUUAGAGUUCGCCAUGAAGGUUAUUCUUUUUUAGUUCGCCACAAAGGUUAUUCUUUCAUGUCAUGUUUACGAUAUGGAUUUGCCUAAAUUCACGAUGCGUGAGGUUUGCCCAUCAUCAUCUUGGGAUACGUAGAAAACUCCGUUAGGUAAUCACCAUCCUUUAGUUCCUUUUAGAGGUUGUCAUGAUCAUGGCUUAAUAUACAUCUAAAGUUAUCAAUCCAGGCUAAACCUUUAAAAUGAUAACAGAUUACCAAUCCAGGCUGAAUCUGUGUCACAUGUAUCUUCGAGUUCACAACAAAUGCUGGAGCUCGAUUAUGAAAUAAACUCAUUUUACAAACAUUUCAUGCACUGAAACAAACUAAGCACAAUUCACUGUUAACAACCAACAUACUACACAUCUCAUAACAUAAAAUCUAGACAUUUAGAUGCAACCAUACGUCACAUCACAUUACUCAUACUUGUACUCACCAGAUUCUAUAUCAAAUAUACAUACUAUCCUCAACAAACAUUCACACAAUCAUAGAUAUCCUUUAAUAAUCCCUCAUAUAGCCACAUACAAACCAUACUAAAACUUUCAAGAUCUCAACAUCACCUUUCAACCAAUUCCCUAUAGAUCUUCUGAUAUGAACAGUACACCUGCAAAAUUCAUCAUAGAGAUUCACUCGAUUCUCACCUACAGCGGUUCAAAACUCUAGAUCUAGACUUUCAUCAUGCAAUCAACAGAAACUACUGAUUUACAUAUUCUACCAUCCUGGGUGGCCUGACAAUGAUGGUUUUCACUAUUUACAUAUUCUACCAUUCCGGGUGGCCUGACAACGAUGAUUUUCAAUAACUAUAUUGAGGACUCCAUGGCAUGCUAACUAAACUAGACUCUACCCUAAAAAGUUAAUCGGGUAAUUACUAAAUCAAUACACAUAAUAAUCACACAUCAUAGUUUAUAUCAAGUUUUUUUAUGCUAUAUUCAAUUUAAUCUAAUUUUGGACAUUUAAUGCCAUCAUUUAUAAAUCGAGUAAAGAAGCAACCAUACAUUUACCUCAAUAGAUAGAUUUGAAACAAUCACAUAUAUGUAUAUAUGCAUGUGUCUAUGUAUUUAUGUAUUGAAAUUAAACUAUAAAAGUACAAAUCAAAGCUUUUGUAACUCGUCUACGACACUAGCUUUUCUUUUAUGUAGAGACGGCCCAGCGUCGUAUUUAGCUAUGUUUGAUAAUUCAAUCAUAAAGCAAUGUCAAUUUCCAUCCAAUUCACAUUCAAAUACAUAGUCAAAAAUAUUUUUCAUUUUAUUCAAUUUAUUCCCUAUAUUCGACAGACUCGUAUUUUUCAAUAUCUAACAUCGGAUCAAAAUUUAAUUUCACAUUAUUUUAUUAGGGACUCUAUACUUUUAAUAUACAACAUAAUCUCAUGAAAAUUUUCAAUUUGUUCAAUUUAGUCUUUAAUAUUAGAAAAUUAUCUAACAAGCUUAACUCAGAUUCCAAUUUAGUCCUUAACAUAAUCUAAGUUCACUAUCUUGUGAUCUCUUCAAUUUCAAGCUUAAUUCAUCAAUUUUUUCUAAUGGCAACUUGUCAAACAUCUAAUAAUUUACUAAAUUAACACAUGGGCUAGCUAAAUCAAGCUCCCAUUAUCAAGAAUCUAUAAAAAAAAUUGAAGAAAAUGACUUGAUUACCUUAGUUAAUUUGGGACAAAAAUGAAUAUGAAGGCUUGGAGAAAUUUCUUCUUUCUUUUUAACUUAGGACGGAAAAGUAAGAUGGAAAAGAUGAAAGUGCUUUCAGCUUCCUUAACUUGUUUAAUUAUGAUUAGUUUACAAAACUAAUAUAUAUUUAUCCAUAAUUGUAAUUAUAGAAACUAAGUGGAUGUCAUAAUCAAUUCCCACAAUUACAUAAGAAAUAAUGGUUUAAUAACCAUUUUGGUCCUUUGCAUAAUUACUAACUAGGUCCGCAAGUAUUUUAUAAAUUAAAAUUCAAUAGAAAUUAGAUUUUUACAAUUUAGUCCCUGAGUUUUAAUUAACGAUUUUCUCGAUUAAAUUAUUUAACUGGUAUUCAAUAUGUUUUCAUAAUAGCUCAAUAAAUAUUCUCAUUUUACCUUUAUGGACUCAAUUCACGGAAAUGCGGUUUCGAUUUUUUAACACCACUUAAAAUCAAGUCGUUAUAUUAAUAUUCUCAAGGACACCUUCAAUAUUUUGGUCAUCAACAUGAAGAACAAAGUUAAAAGAAAUUGAAGCAGGGUUUAAAGAUCUCAUUAUAAGUUCUUAUCAUAUCUAUUCUUUUUGAUACAAUGCUUAAAACUACCCAUAGCCCCUCUCUAACCCUUAAAUAGGAGGUUAAUGCACUUCAGCGUACUCAAAUCCACGUCCUCCUGCAUUGGCAACAUUGCCGAUACUAAUCGAGCUAAGACUCAAUCGACAACACUUCAUUAUUAGUAAACUUAAAAAGUUAUAUAUCCUUAAAAAAUAAAAUUUUUCUUUCAUUUAUAGAAAUUUCAAAUUAAGAUAUCUUAAAAUAUACUAUUUUAGAAUGUUAGUAUUUGUAAUUAUUUUUGUUUGAAUAAAUUCUUUUUAGAAAAAAAUUUAAAUUAUUAAAAUUUUAUGAGUUAAAAAAAGUAAAAGAAAAGUAAUUAUGUUAAAAAUAAAUAAUAUUGUUGAGGUUUUCUCUUGUUCUCCCUCUCUUUGGAGCAACUCGUUCAUAUUUAUAAGGCACGAUCUCUUGAUGUGACGUGUUAGUGUCGCAGGCUAAAGUUCAAAGCUCGUGACCAUGGUACAAGAUGUGCCUCAUGGAGGUCUAUCGAUUAGAUGGGGAACAUUUAGCCCACGAGAACUGGCCCGAUUCAAAGAACUGUUAGAGAAGCCUAUAAGAGUGAAGUCUUGUUGGCCCGAUAAUGAAGAUAUGACAACUUAGGUUAUUUUUAGUAAAUAGAGGAAUCAUAUCUUGUAGAUUUGAUUUGAUAUAAUCUAAUUUAAUAAAUCCCUAAAAUCAAGGGAUAGGUUAAUCUCGUCCGUCAAUGUAAUUUUAUCUUAACCGUCGUUUUAAGGAAGCUCAACUAUAAAUAGAGAGCCUGCCCCUCAUUUGUAUCUCAUCCAUUGUAUGUUGAAUUCUUAAGAGUAAUAGAAUUCUUUGAGCAUUUACUCAAACACUUUUUGUGCAUUCUUUCUUUGGCUUUCUAUUGUUCACCUGUACCUUCUUUUAGCACAAUCGCUUCCACUAUACAAAUUGGCGCCUUAGAGGAAUUCAAAAAGAAUCCUAACUUUUGGGAGUAAAGGCUGACUUAGAUGAGUUUGGAGCAAACAAAUCGCCUAAGGCCGCACGGAUUGCGAGACGAAAGAUCUAGCCCCAUAACAAGUGGUAUCCCAACUAUUGGUUCGAAGGCACCAUUGGGAUGUCGAAAAAAGUUGUUGAUCAGAAUGAGCCAAUGCAGACCCGUGGGAGGGCCAAAAAAGUAAAUUACUUUAGGGACAUGCUUACAGCUUUUGGAAAUCGAGUGGUUAAUCUCGAGGAUUCUGUAGGUAACAUGAAGGAGAUGCUUAAGUUGGUCGAUGACGCACAGAUGGGUUUGACUCAAUGGAGGAGAAACUCAGAGAUUUUGUGUUGGAUUCUCUCGGUGCCAAUACAGAAAAGAUGAAUGAAUUAGUCAAUUCCACUACGACAAAGCUGGCAGAGAGGGAUUAGAAUCUUGAGGAUAUGGUGUUAGCCAUGAAGAAGGAAAUAUAAGAGCUUAAGGGGGAGCUCACGAUUUACAAAGCUACUCUGAGUAAUGGGAUGUUGUCUUCAAGGCCGAAGCAACAAGCAAUGAAUGUUCCCAAACCGGAGAAGCUUAAGGGUGCAAGGUUCGUAAGGGAUGUGCACAACUUCUUGUGGGAAAUAGAGAAAUACUUCCAAGCCAUGGGUAUCAAGGAUGAUGCCAUUAAGGUAAACACUGCUUCAAUCUAUUUUACUGAUGUGGCUCUCUUGUGGUGGUGUUGUAGGUCCAUAGGAUGAGAAACAUGGUGGGAACACAAUUGGGACUUGAGAGGAGUUCCAAAGAGAGUUGAAGAAGCAGUUUUACCCAAAGUAUGCCGAGAAGGAGGCUCAGGCUAAAUUGCAUUGUCUCACGCAACAAGUCACUGUUCGGGAGUAUGUUUGGGCAUUUAGCGAGUUGAUGCUUCAAAUCUCUGACUUGAGUGAGACAGAAGCAUUCUAUUGGUUCGAGGAUGGGUUAAAGUUGUGGGCAAAACAUGAGUUGCGUAGGUAAGAAAUCAUAGAACUUACUGUAGUCGUGGCGGAAACAGAGUCCUUUGUUGAGCUUGGUCCAACAAAAGACAAGUUUGAGUCGUCUAAGCCUAAUGGAAAGGGCAAUGGUGAGAGAAACCAUGAGGAAGAUGAAGAGGGACAUAGCGAUGAUGACAACAGUACCGAUAGCACAAGUGGCAACGGGAAACCACAAGAUACGAAGUGGGGAUCCAACAACUCAAGGGACAAGGGAAAGAGGAUAAAACGCUUCAUUUGUCAAAGACCACACAUGGCGCGAAAAUGUCUGAAGAAAUUGAUGAUUUAGGCGAUCAAAAAGAAAGAUGAGCUGAAGGAAGAGGCGAAGCCUAUUGAGGGAAAUACGUCGAGGGUCAAUUCGAUGGUGCUCAUUCCUAAGAAAAGGAAUGGUGAAGAAGGGUUGAUAUUUGUGGACAUCAAUAUUGCGGGUCAGAAGCGAACUGCUCUUAUUGAUAUAGGAGCAUUGAAUUUGUUCAUAUCAGGAAAAGUUGCGAAAAAGCUUGGUCUGUCGAUUAAAAAAUCGACAAGAAGAUCAAGACAGUAAAUUUUGAGGAGGCUCCAAUUGUAGAGUAGUUUGUAAUGUAGAGCUGCAAAUCGGUGAAUGGAAAGACAAUGAAGACUUUAAGGCAAUCCAAUUGGAUUAUUACAAUUAUGUACUUGGUUUAAACUUCCUUGACAGGAUUCAGACAGUUAUAUUUCCAUGGGCUAAUGAAAUUCAUAUUGUCAUUGGUCCAUUAUCAAAGAUUGUUGUGUCAGUGCAUCACGAUAUGAAGGUUGGGACCAAUGUGUUGUCGUCAAUCCAACUAGUCGAAGAUGUUUCGUAUGGGAGAAACAUUAACGCGAUAGAACGGAAUGUUACAAAAGCCCCUUCAAAAAAGUUAAUGGAACAUGGACCGAUAUGAGACCUGUGGAGUCGACUGUGGAGCCGUCACCUUGGGAAGGUGGAUUGUGUACCAAACUUUGAGGGGAAAGAAGUAAUGCAAAAGCAGUCAAAACGAGUAAAUGCUGUGAGUAAGGUACAUUGCAAACGCUUUGAUAGUGUUUUGAAUUCUGACUUGUUGGCUUGGCAAGGUCGUAAGGGCCCUUUCAAAGUUCUUAAGUAAGGAGGCCGAGGGACUGUCGGUGGUACGAAGCCAAGAUGUGAGAAUCCAGGGGAUUAUAAUAGGACCAAGUCAAAAUUGGGGCAUGUUAAAGCGGAGACUUCUUGGCAACGGGAUGUACAACAAGUGCAACGGUUCAAGUUAAAAGGCGACGGAAGCCAAGGCAAAGGUUCCGAAGGAAAGGGCAAAUAAAUCGCAAGACAAGUCGGGAAUAAGCUAAGGCAACGAGAAAGUUCCAAGGUGAAUUAAGUCAGUGUCAUUCAGAAGUUGCAACGAAGGCAUUGCGAGAAUAGGUGGGGAAGAAUGUCACGGGCCAAAGUGCAAAGCUCGUGACCAUGCAUAAGAUGUACCCCAUGGAGGUCUACUGAUUAGAUGGGGAACAUUUAGCCCACGAGAACUGGCUCGAUUCAAAAAACUGUUGGAGAAGCCUGUCAGAUUGAAGCCUGGUUGGCCAGAUAAUGAAGAUAUGGCAACUUAGGCUAUUUUUAGUAAGUAGUGGAAUCAUAUCUUGUAGAUUUAAUUUGAUAUGAUGUAAUCUUGUAAAUCUCUAAAAUCAAGAGAUAGGCUAAUCUCAUCCGUCGAUGUAAUUUGAUCUUGACCGUCAGUUUUGGGGAAGCUCAACUAUAAAUAAAGAGCUUCCCCCUCAUUUGAAUCUCAUCCUUUGUAUGUUGAAUUCUUAAGAGUAAUAGAAUUCUUUAAGCAUUUACUCAAACACUUUGUGUGUAUUCUUUCUUUGGCUCUCUAUUGUUCAUCUGUAGCUUCUUUUGGCACAAUCGCUUCCGCUAUACAAAUUGGUGCCUUAGAGGAAUUCAAAAGGAAUCCUCACUUUUGGAAGUAAAGGCUGACUUAGGUGAGUUUGGAGCUAAUGAAUCACCUAAGGCUGCACGGAUUGCGAGACGAAAGAUCUAGCCCCGUGACAUUAGGGGACCAUUAGGUGCCAAGAGCAUGAAACAUUCACCCCUAGCUCGACACGUAAUCUGAAACGUGUCUCUCCCCACGAGGUGGUGAGAUGAUCACUAUAACACCCUUAACUCAUCUCCAUCACUGAAUUAGGGUUACAUUAUAUUACGAUAGUUAACAAGUCCGAUAAUAUCUUAAAACAAUUCAAAAAUCAAUUUAAACAUUAUAGAUCAAUAUUCAAUCAUUAUUCACAGCAUAUAAGCAUAAAUGAAACUUAAAUCGGGCCUACGAAACCUAAAAAUCAGUUUAGAAACAAGUCAUUUACAUAUACAUUUCGUUUAAAUUAUUAUUCACAGCAUAUAAGAGUAAACGGAACUUAAAUAACAUCUUUUAGCUAUGGUCUUAUUCAUUUGAAUCAUGAUUAACCUGCUCAUAUCCAUUUCAUAUUAUAUGCCAUUCAAUUCACACAUACUCAUUUACUAUGCUUCACAAAUCAAUCUAAGAUUUCCAAUUUUAUGACUUACCUCAAUCAUGAUAACUAUAGUAUAUAUAAACAAACACACAUAUAAUUGAAUUCAAAUCAUUAAAAAUAUAAUAAACCUAAUACGAACUUACCUAAACCAAUUCUGCAGAAAAAACAACCCUAACAUCUAAUCAUCAAUUUUUCCUUUCCCGCGUUUGUCAAUCGACUAAUACAUUUCUUGAUGUAAAUAUAUUAAUUUUAUUCAACUAAUCGAUUCAAAUAUCAUAAAAUACUUAAAUUCACAUAUUUGACUCUUUAUCAACAUUUUACCUUUUAUUCAAUUUAGUUUCUAAACCCAAAACUUUUAAAUUGAACAUAUUUAAUCCCAAACCAUACUAGAAUAAUUUCAUAUAGUCCUUUUACAUCCCAUAUUUAGCACAUUUUCACAAGAAUUUCAUACAAUUUUACUAUUUUAACAACAAAAUCCCUAAAUACAAAAUUAACAAAAUUUACUUAAUCAAAUAAUCCUUAAACAUUUCAUAGCUUCCAAAUCCAACAAUUUCUAUCAAAAACACCUGAGAUUCAUCAAUGGGAAGUUUUAAAAUCUUUAACAAUUUUAAAAUCGGUGAUAUGGGUUAGCUGAAUCUAGUUGCAACGAUCUCAAAAAUAUAAAAAUACUAAAAGAAGAGCUUGAAUUUCAUACCAUGCAAGGAGAUUUAAAGCUUGGUUGAUUCUUCCUUCAAGCUUCAAUGGUGGUUUCAGUUAAAGAAAAAUAAAAUGAAGAAGAUGAUGACUAAUUACCUUUUGUUUUUUUAAUCUUUUAAUAAUAUUAUAACAUAUAAUUCUUUUGAAUUAAAACAUUUUAAACAAAAAAAAUUUUUCGCCCAUUAACCGUCCACACUAACUAAAAUAAGUUCUAAUUGCAUUUUAAAACCUUCAUUUAAUACUUUUAUAACCAUUUAAUACAAAUAAACUUAUAGCGAUUAACUUUUACAGUAUUUACGAUUUGGUCCAUUUUACUAAAUUAAUUAUCUAAACAUUAAAAUUUUUGGACCAAACUUUAAUACACCUAUAUAACCACUCCGUAAAUAUUUAAUAUAAAUAUUUACAAGCUCGGUUAAUAGAAACGAGGUCCCGAUAUUUCGUUUUCCAAAAUCACUUGACUUUAAGGACAAACCACUUGAACUAGACUAUUCAUUCAAAUAACAAAAAUUAUCAAAUUAAAAUUUGUUAUAAUAUUAUAUUUGACUCAUAAAUAUUAAGUAAUAAUAUUUAUGGGCUCACUCAUCGGAUUUGUGGCCUCUAAACCACUGUUUUCAACACCACUGAAAAAUGGAUUGUUACAAUCACACUUUGCGUGAUGUUUGUGAUGGGUGGCUUGUGACCUUGCAAGGUUGUAAGGCAAGAUGACGACGACGAAAUGAUUAAAUGGUAAAGCCUUGGUGAGGACAUCUUCACAAGAUGGUGAGGCACUUCGAUGGCCUAAGAGUUAGGCUCAUGAGAUAGUGCGAGGUGGCAAAGAUUACCUUGCGAAGUAAGAAGGCAAUGGCUGGCUUGCGAGGGCUCGUGAAGUGGCAACAGACAUGAAAUGGGCCUCGCGAAGUGAUGAUGGACUUGUGAGAUGGCAAGGCACCGUAGCUGGCUUGCGAGAUGGGUCAAGCUUCUCAUUUCAUAUGGUCGAGUUGAAUUUUAAGUUUCUCAAAUAUUCUAUAACAAAUAUAUAUAUAUAUAUAUAUAAAAGCAAUGCAAAAAUCAUUGUAUUCAUGAAAAUAUAUAAGUUUUUAAAUAAUAUAAAUAAAUAUUUUGAAGUUUAACCUUUUUUUAUUUUGUGGUAAGCCAUAUAAAUGAAUUAAAAUUUAAAAAAAAUUGAAAAAUAGGACCUUUUGAAAUUUUUUAGUAUUUUUAUUCAAAUAAGUUAAUUUAUUUUUGGAAAAUUUAAAACCUUAAUAAAAUGAAAUCUCUUGUCUGAAUUUCUCUUCUAAAGAGAAUUUCUUUCUUUUUAAAGUUUUUUUAUGGUGUUAUAAUUUAUUUGGCCUCUAACUUUAUGAAAAAAAAAAUAUUGUAGAAAAAAAUUUAUUGUAGCCAUUCAUUUAAAAUUUCACAUUUUUUAGUUCUUAAACUUGUGUAUUUGUCAAAUUACUCCAAUAUGGAUGAAAAAGUUAACAUUUUUCAACUUUAUUGAUGUGACAAAAUGGAUUGUCAUGUGGAUAACAUAUAAAUAUUUAAUUGACUUAUUAAAAUUUUUAAAAAUUAAAAACAUUAUUUUUUAAAAUUAAAAUCAUUAAAAUUAUUUAAAAAGUAUAAAAAAUUUAAUUUUUUAGAAAAGUAAUUAAAUGCUGACAUUUCGUACAUGUGGCAAUUCACAUGUAUGCCACAUCAACAAAGUUGGCAAAAGUUAACUUUUCUAUCCAUUUUGAGGUUAAUUUGACAAAAAAUGCAAGUUCAACAAAAUAAACUCUUUUGUAAAGUUGGAAGACAAAAAAGACAUUAUACAUUUUUUUUAAUGAUGAAGUGUGAACACUUAUUAACUAUCAUGAUAUUUAUACUUUAUUUAAAUUCUUAAUUGUGUUACUAUCACGAGCUAAUUAGACACCAACUCAAUUGAAAACUAACCAAAAAAAUCCUUUAAAAGUAACAAAUAUUAUUAUUAAAUUAUUUUCAUUUUUAUAUAAAACCUUAUAAAAACAAUUGAAACCUAUAAUAAAUAUGUCAAUGAUGGACUUCAACCUAGAAUAUUAAGAUCUUCAAUGUUUCAAUUUUGCUAUUCCAACCAAUAAUUAAUUUAGUCUUUAUAUAAUUUUUUUAAAUAUAUUUAUAUAAUAUUUUUCAGGUUAAUAUAAUUUAAUAGAACUAUAUUUAUGAUGUAGAUAUGCAUCAAAUAUAAAUUUUAUCAAAGUGGAAGUUUCCUCGUAAACACGUCGCACCAGGCUAUGGUAGAAAAGUCCAAUAACUUAGAUCACAUAGACCCCUAGUCAAUACGAUAUGGAAAACAUUACCCUAUAAAUAUCUCCACUGCCUCAAUCCCUCUGCUCACAUCAAACUUCCCUCUCAUCCUUUGAAAAUGGAGUCCUUAACUAUGGGAAAAAAGCUACUAACAUCUGUUCUCGUAGAACUUGUAGUUGCUUCCGCUAUAACCCAAACCGUGUUGGCUCAAAACUGUGGCUGUGCGCCAAACUUGUGUUGCAGUCAACAUGGUUAUUGCGGUCAGGGUAACGAUUACUGUGGCACUGGUUGAAAAGAAGGCCCUGGCUUCUCCAAGUCUCCCACUGGUGCUUCAGUUGCCUCCAUUGUUUCACCUCAGUUCUUCAACGGGAUAAUCAACCAAGCUCGUGCAGAUUGUGCAGGCAAGAAAUUCUAUACACGACAAGCUUUCCUGACUGCACUUGAUUCCUUUCCCGAUUUCGGAAAAUUGGGUUCUGAUGUUGAAUCCAAGCGUGAGAUUGCAGCUUUCUUUGCCCAUGCCACCCAUGAGAAUGAAUGUAAAGCUCUUUUUCCUUUGAACUAAACCACAGAUUCAAAGCCAAUUAUAUAGUCCUAAAUCUGCUGUAUUUGUAUAUAUUCUUAUUUUUGCAGUCUUUUGCCAUACAGAAGAACAGGAUAAAAGUGAUAGCCACUGUGACACCACCAAGCCAGAGUUCCCAUGUGCACCAGGGAAGUCCUACUAUGGUCGAGGACCGCUCCAGCUUUCGUGGAAUUAUAACUACGGGAAAGCAGGGAAAGCAAUUUGACGCUGGACUUAUUGAAAAAUCCUGAAAUGGUGGCCAAUGAUCCUGUUGUCUCAUUUAAGGGUUCAUUAUGGUACUGGAUGGCCGCUGUCCGCCCCGUCAUCGGCCGAGGGUUCGGAGAAACCAUCAAAGCCAUCAAUGGCAGGGUUGAAUGUGGUGUUACAGCUGCAAAAGACAGAGCUCAGCAUCGAAUUCAGUUUUACAAAUAUUAUUGUAAACGAUUUGGGGUUCAUCCUGGACCCAGUCUGUCUUGUUAGAGUUUCAGCGGUGUUUGCAGCUGUUUUUCUAGCAGUAUAAUACGAACAAGUAGGGGCUUGAAGGCUACUGAUGCUGUUGAGUAGCUUUUGAUAAUUGAUUGUCCCAGAAUGAAGUUACCGCAAGGUCUCUUUUAAGAGACCUGCUAUAAAAUAAAAUAAAGGGAAAUAUGCAAUUGCCCUGCUUUUAAGUUGGUAAGUGGUUUAGUUAAAGUAAGGUGGAUCAUCAUUUUUCUUACUCCCUCAUCAUUUUUAGUGGUCUCUCAUAAGCCUUGCCAUUAAAAUUUCUAGUAUUUUCUCGUAAUUUUUGGAAUGUUAUUAAAAUUUCUAGAAUCAAAUUUUGAUUUCAAACAAAUAUUUCGCAUACUAAUAACAUUUAAAAUAAAAAUAAUAAUAAAGCAAAAUUUAUAAGACGAACUAAUAUUUAAUAGUCUCUUAUAAUUUUUGGUACUCAUAUCAUAUUUUUUUAUAUUCCCUCAUGUUUUUUAGUAUUCCAAGGAAAAACAUAAAAUAUAUAUAUAUAUAUAUAUAUAUAUAUCAAAUUUGGUUCUUCUUACUAAAUUUGUUUCAUUUAUAAAAAAUUAUCAUCAAAUAUUUUUUUCCCUUACAAAAUUUAGCAUGAAAAAUUAUAAUUUAAAAGUUAUUAAUUUUUUUCGUUACAUAAUCCUAUUUAAAUUUCUUAAUAUUUAAAAUUAAUAUUUUAUACUCCAAAAUUAUAUCUCAUACCAAAUCAUCAUCUAAAAAACAUAUAAAAAAAUUUAGGAUAAAUUUAAAAAAAUAUGAAGAAAUACCAAAAAUUUUGAGAGAAUACCAAAAAAUAAAAGAAAGUACAAAAGAACAUGAGGAGCCACAAAAAUUUAUGAGGUAAUACUAGAAAAUUUGAGAAAGUACCAAAAAAAACUUGAACAAUCAAAAAAAAAAAGACCAAAAAAGUAUAAAAAAUUAUGAAGAAAUAUCAUGAGCAAUCACAAAAAACCAUGAGGAAGUACAAAAAGAAAUAUAAGGAAGCACCAAAAAAUCUAUGUAUAAAAAAAUUAAGUGAGAACAUCAAAAAAAAUCUGAAGAAGUAUAAAAAAUUAUGAGGGAACACCAAAAAGAUUUUGAGGAAGUACCAUUAUGAGAUAAUACCAAAUAACACGAGGGGAUACUAAUUUUUUCUUUGUCUGCAUAACUUUUUUCGUUUAUUUAAUUUUUCGUAUUUUUUUUAAAAUUAUCAUGAAAUAAGAAUUUUUCAGUACCAUUUUUUAGUAUUAAAAAAUUAUAAUUUCACAGUUACAAUUUUUUUUCUUUACAACAUCUCAUUGAAAUUUUUUAAUAUUUAAAAAUAAUAUUUUUUAUUUACUUUAAAAUUAUAUAUUGUAUCAAACCUUCCGUUCCAAACAAUAUAAAAAUUUAUGAUAGAGUACAAAAAAAUACAAGGAAGUACCCAAAUUUAUAAGAAAGUACCAAAAUUUAUGAGCGAAUACAAAAAGAAUGAGGAAGUACCAAAAGUUAUGAGGAUGUAAAUAUAUGAGGAUGCACCAAAAAUUAUGAGGGAAUACAAAAAAUAUGAGGGGAUACUAAAAAAUAUUAGAAAGUACCAAAAAUUAUGAGAGAAUACCAUAAAACUUGAGGAAGUAUAAAAAAAAUGAGAAUGUACCGAUAAUUUGAGGACGUAAAAAUAUGAUGAUGUACAAAAAAUAUGAGAGAAUGCCAAAAAAACACGAGGGGAUAUUAAAAAUAUGAUGAAGUACUAAACAUUAUGAGAGAAUACCAUAAAACUUGAGGAAGUGCCAAAAAAAAUGAGAAAGUACAAAAAAUUAUGAGAGUGUAACACCCCAAUCCCAGCCUAGUCGUUAUGGUCGAAUCUGGUGGAGUUACAUCAACUCGUUUGAAAACUAAUUAAAAAUCCAGCUUAGAAAUCGUGUAAUCUAAAAUCUUAAUUUAGCUAAGCUCAUGCGCAGAACUUAUUCAUUUCACACAAAAAAAAAUCUUAAUUUGAUCACGUUUAAAAACUUUUGUUUUUAGUGAGUGUUUCGAAAAUAUAAGUGUGGCAAAACCUCUUACAUAUUUUACUUACAGUAAAAUCACCUAAUGAUUUAUUUAGUUUCGCAACAGAAAUUUCAGAGUUUUAAUUUUAAAAACCGAAUUCUAAUUUGGUAAAUUGUAUGAUUUUGCAUUUUCAUGUUAAAAUACCAAAAACUGGCGAUCAAGCAAAAACCAAAUCAAAGCCCAAAAACGAAUUAUAAUCCUAAAAGUCCAAGAAUAUUACUAAUGUAGAUCUCCAUAUUUAAUUAACUGAGAAAAAAAUCCGAGCUCCCACACGCUGUUCGGUCCUUAGUCGGAAGAUUACCUAAAACGUAUUAAACAAACGAGUGAGCUAGAAGCCUAGUGUGACACUCGAUCCACAAACAGAAUUUUUACUUAUAACAUACACAAAUAUAAAUACUAGUACAAAAUUUUACUUAUAUUGUACACAUUACCAGAAAAAUAUGUCAAAUCAAAAUGUCAUAUUUCCAGAAACAUAUACUAGAUUAAAAUGUCAUAUUUUCAGAAACAUAUACCAUAGCAAAAUGUCAUAACAUAUCAGAACAAAUCUUACACCCAUCCGUUACACGCCAUUUACGUUCAACUAAUCACACCAAAUAGGACUACAAGAGUCCAUCCAUCAAAACAACCAGGUUGUGGUAGUAUGCCACUAAUAAUGGUGCAGUUGAGCUGCCAACUAGAUAUUGUGGUUUAACAGUCAAAAUUGCAAGUAAAACUGCCAGAAAACACUUCCUCUAUCAUAUCAAAACCCACCAUAAUGCACAUGCACAAUCAUAAUAACAUACGUACAUAUCAAAUGAAUGCUAUGACAUGCAUACCUAAACAUAUUUUUUUUUACAUAUCAUACAUAUCAAAUUGCUUAUACUAAAAAUUAUUCUACAUACAGAUGUCAUACUUGUUUUUACACGUAAUUGUGCUUUCAAAGUUAUUAGAACACAGAUCGUACAUAAGUUUUUCACUUACCUUAAUCAUAUAACAUACUGACAGAUAUCACAUUUCGAGUCUUGUUUAAGCCAAACAGACCCCACAGAAGGUCUAAUUACGCAUUUCUAAGUCAAAUGAGCCUAAGUGAAAAUUUCUGAAAAAUUGGUCCACGCGACCUACCUGACCUGGCCAUGUGAUCACACACGUCCGUAUGUCCCAUACGGCCUACCAAAGUCACCCAUGCAAUCACACAUGCCCGUGCUCCACAUGGCCCGGUACAUGACCAACCAUACACUCGUGUGAUGCACACAACCUAACACACGCACACGCUUGUGUUCCACAUGGCCUGUACACGACUAACCACACACCCGUGUGAUGCACACAACCUAACACAUGACCAGCCACACGGUCGUGCGACGUAAAGCGUGUAACACCCCUAACCCGUAUCCAUCGCCGGAAUAGGGUUACAGAGUAUUACCGUAAAAACGCAACUUAAAACAUUCAUUUUCAAACAUUUCAUAAAUCAAAUCAUAGUCCAUUCAAACACAUGUAUAUCGUCCCUUAUUUGAGCCCUCGAGGCCUUACAAACACUUUAGAAAUGAUUCGGGACUAAAUCGGGAACAUUUAAAACUUAAUGGAAAAAAAUGAAAAAAUUCACACUGCAGGGGUCAUACAGUCGUAUGGCUAGGCCGUAUGACUCACAUGGCUGAGACACACGACCGUGUCUCAAGUUGUGUAGGCAUCCGAAGUAGGGACACACGGUCGUGUCCCAACCCGUGUCCGUGCCCGUGUAACUCUCUGACUUGGGUCAUACGGCCAAGCCACACGUCCGUGUGCUAAGCCGUGUAACUCUUGAAAUGCAACCUUUAAAACUUACAGGGGACACAUGGCCGUGUCGCAUGGCCAUGUGUCAUACACGGCUGAGACAUACGCCCAUGUCUUAGGCCAUGUGGACAAGAAAUAGACCAUUUUCAAGCCAUUUCUUUCACCCAAAAUAUGCUCAUACAUACAAGCCAUUUGCACAUGUUUCAAGUAUUCAAAAAUGUACCUAAAAUAUGCAUAAUACAAAUAGAUCAAUAUAGUAUUUAUCCAUACAACCAAUAUGCCCAAAAAGCACCUCAGAAGCAAGCACUCAACUUAACAACACAUAUGCAUAAUUGAUCACCUUGCUACCAUUUUAACACAUACCAUACUUAACUUAUACCUUGUCACUAGAAGUUAUCAUUUGAACCAUUGUUUUCAUGCAUCCCAAAUACACAUAUAUCUAACUUAUAUAUAUUUGACCAUUUUUCAUCCAUAUAUAUUUAGCUUAAUUCCAUACUAAGUUAUACCAUAAUUGACCACAAGCCAAAUUCACAAUCAAACAUACCAAAUGGGUCAUAAUUCAACCAAUUAUACUUGACUAAAUUUCGUAUCAAAUCAUACCUUAAAUGAUCAUUUUGCAAACAUACCAACAGUUACCACUUUGGCCAUAAAACCAUGCGUCAAUUUGAUCAUAUAAACACCAACCAUUAAGCAUCAAAGUAACAUAAGUUCCACAAAUUCAAAGUAACAUUACAUGCCAAUAUCAUUAUCUAAACAUUAAACAUAGUCCACCUAUACAUGCCAUUAUAACCACGACCCACGUAUCGAAAUCUACCGAUAAAAUCGAUGGAUAGUCUGAUGGAUCUCCAACUAGCUUUCAACUCAAUCGAGCUUCUGAUAAUAUGUAAAGUAAAGGAAAAUAACUACGUAAACAGUGUAUGCUUAGUAAGCUUGUAUAAAUUUUAAACAUAAUAUUUCAUUUCAAUAAUAAACUUUAUAGAAUAAACAUAAAUCUAUGCUAAUGCCAUAAGAUUCAUAAACCGAUAUGAUCAUCAACUUACAAAUGAGUAAGUUCAUUAAUGUCAGAUAUAUUUAUCAUUUAUAACAUGAUAGGAUUUUAUGGGACUUAGUAGAUAAUCAUCAACCUUUCUAUAAGGUUAUACACUUUCCAAUUUACUCUUUUUUCAUUCUGUUCCCAAUGCUUAUCAUAAGCCUAAACAACAUUAUCAAUUCCCAACUUAGUGUAUUUAUCUAUACUAUAAGUAUAUACAUCCAUAGCAUAUGUAAAUCUCUCACAUAUAAUACCAAACUCAUUACCUCUUUUCCUCAAAUUUUAUUUUAACUAUGAAUUUACCAUUUCAUUAUCUUUCCUCACCCAUUUCAUAUGUAUAACACACAAGUUAGUGCAUUUAAACAUAGCUCUUUUAGAAUCAACUACAUAAUCAACCAUUGCAUAAGAAAUUACAUACUUAAAUUUCUUCCACCUUUUCAUGGACAUAAGCACAUUACCAAUUGAGCACUUACCAUUUCAAUGUAUUUCAUUAAGAUUAAACAUGAUGUAAUUCAAUCACAAACUUGGCACAAGCCUAAACACUAAAAAACACAUAUGUUAGAAUAAUUGAAUAUAAUUCAUAUGAACUUAACAUAAAUAACCAUUAUACUUGAGCAUGAUCCAAUUGGAUUUAUCAUCCUUCCUAACAUAUCAUGUUUUCUGAUACGAACUCGCUUACGGGAUGUAAUUGAGUAGUUUGAUUGCCCGAUAAAAAAUUAAGUAGUUCUCAUUUUAGUUUUAACAAAAGAUAAAUUUUAAGAAGAUAGUUUAAGUAAAGUAGCGGAAUAUAUAAAGAUAAUUUGAUGGAGGAUGGAUAGAUGAGCUUAAAACAAGAAAGAACCCUUAAUAGCGAUUAAGGACCCAAUUCUUAUACUUUUUAAGGUGAAAAGAUGGAUAGCUGGAUAGGACUGUGACUCACUAUCUAGCAAGAUAGGAACCAAUGGUAUAAGUUUGAACCCUACACUCCAAAGAGUGAUAAGUUCAGAAAAGAAUCAAGGUUGACACCACUAGUUUAGCUAGAUAAGUCAAGUUGAAUCCUCAAGAAAAACGAGAGUGAAUAACUCACAAAGUUAUAUUUCAUAUAUGUCAAAAGUUCAAAAGUUAACCUUCAAAAGGUUUACAAUUGUGCUAUUUAUAAGCUAAUAGACAACCAGCUGAAUGGACAUGAAUUAAAUAAAGCUAAAGUGAUUUAAUUUCCAGCUGAAUUAAUUCAAUGAAUUUAACUAAGUAAGAUGUCGAAACAGCCUUGGUUCAUGGUGUUGAUGAGUGAGCUGAAUGAAGCUGGAUUAGGUGAAUGGAAGUAAUAUUUAAAAGGUGCACCGAAUGAGAAGUAGCUGAUGAAUGUGCUUGCUAGUAGCCGAAUAGUCUUAGAGGUGUGAACACUCGGGUUUGUGAAUGUGAACAGCAAGAAAAAAUGAACACUUGAAAAGGUAGCUGGUCAGCUCAUAAUCUUUGGCAAAGGUUCUUAAAUGUUUCGGCUGGAGAAAAUACACCUAGCAGCUCAAGGUACAUACACAAUCGGGUGCAUGAAUUCUUCCUUAAAUAAGCUAUAAUGUAUCGGCUAGAUACAUGCAUAUUCAGCUGAAUAACGGUGUCUUCCGUUCAUGCAUAGAUGAAUGCAUGCUUCCACAUUAACUAGCUUCAAUGAACCUGGAAGAUACAUGUAUGUUCAGCUAAUAAUCAGCUCCCAACGUUCAUGCAUUUUCAGGUACAUGCGCCACAUUGAAUGAGCUUCAUUGAAUCGACAUUGUGUAUGUAUUACCCAGUCGAAUACUUUAAUUCCUAUUAAAAAAAUUAAAGACAACUUUUAAAAUAAAUUAAACACACAAUAAAAAUGUAUUGGACUAAGACACAUUUAAUUGAUGUAAUUCAAGCUGUAGUAAACUCAAACAUAAUUGAAUGAGCUCAAAUAAUUAAGAUGUCCAAAGUCUAGCUAGCUAGGUGAGCUAGCUAAUUUGAAUUCAGCUUCCAUCAAGUUGAGAAUGAUUCUUGUUGGUUCGUCCAGCUCCUUUGGAGCUUUCUCCCAAGCAUGCUCAACUAAAGCCGAUAAAGACUCUUUAAAAUGUUUAGCUCGAGCUCGAGUAAUUGGUCCAAUGGGGAGCUCGAGGGAAUUUCGUUUGGUGUUAGCUAGGUCCGCAGGUUGGUUCACAUCAUUUCUCAUGUAUCACCAUUUCAAUAAGUUUCAUACUCGCAUGUCAUGGUUCAUAUUAAACACUUAUCAUAGCCACGAGCUAGUGAUUAAAUACAUAACUUAGCAAUAUCAUCACAAGGUAAGAUAUGGUACAUAAACAUAGCAUCAUUUAAAUUGUACCUUUCAUAAUCAUGAAUAUUUAUACUUUGAUCAUUGGUACAUCAUACCUUUCCAAAUUUGUCAUAGUGAAGGCAAUCAGAACCUUUACUUCGGCUCACAUAAAGUGUGCUAAACGAUGGUUGAAAUCAUCCAUUUUCUAUAAUCAAUGGUUGUCACCAUCUCUUUUCAUAUUCAAUGAAUAUUGUAAAGACGAUUGAAACCCUGGUACACGUUUCCUAUUGUGUCAUAGUCCAACUAUGGUCUUACAUAUGCAUUGCCAUGGCCCUACCAUGGUCUUACAUUCAUAGUUCCAUAACCCAGUUAUGGUCUUGUCAUUAGAAUGCCAUAGCCUAGCUAUGGUCUUACAUAUAAACACUACCACAGUCCAACUAUGGCCUUACAUCCAUAAUGCCAUAACCCAAUUAUGGUCUUAUCAUCAGAAUGCCAUAGCGAGCUAUGGUCUUACGUGCAAAUGCAUCAUGUCUCUAUUGAUAUUAAAAAUUAUCAUUUUCGUAACUUUUCACAAUUCAUGUUCUAUCAACAAAUCAAUUUAAUUUAAGUGAUUUUACAUCAUUUAAGCUCUAACAUUCAUAAACAAUUAGAAAUAUAACUAAAUUCAUAUUAAUUGAACUUACAGGACUAAUUUGCAGUAAUGGCUCAGAGUAUCUCAAUUAGUGAUCGACGUAAUAUCAAUUCAUUAUUUUUGUUUUCAAUUACACACAUCAAUAUAGUCUAAUAUAAUGCAAUUAUGUUCAUAUAUUUCAUUUAAAAAUGUACUAAAAUUAAACCAAACGAACUUACCUAGCUAAAUUGUAGAAAUGACAAAGUAUAAGGGCAUUUUGAUAAUUUUUUUAUUCUCCUCGAUUUUCCACUCGAUAUUGAUCUAAAUUAGUAAUUUCAUUCAAUCUAUUAAUUUAGACAGUAAAACAAUACAUUUUAUACAAUCUAGUCAUUUUUCACAUUUUUACAAAAUUGCCCAUAAUAUUUUAUUUUUAUUGAAGUUAGUCUAUAAGCCUAAAACAUGCAAAUAAACAAUUUUUAAUGUCAAUUCACAUCAGAUGAAUAUUCAUGGCACACAAAACAGCCCACAUUUGUAAUAAUUUCACAUCAAAUCCUUGUAUUUUUACUAUUUUAACAAUUUAGUCCCUAAUUGGAAAAUUCAUCAAAAUUACUUAACCAACAUCUCAAAUUCAUCAUUUAAUAACUAAAAUCAUAUAGAUUCAUCAAUGACAACAUUCACAAUCUUUAACAGUUUCAAAAUCGAAGGUACGAGCUAGCUGGACCUAAUUGCAACGAUCUCAAAAAUAUAAAAAUUACUAAAAAUGGUCUAAAUCGGACUUACAUGCAAACGGAGACUUUGACCGAAUGCUUAAGCUAUCAUCCAUGGCUUCCCCUUUUCUCUAAUUUUGGCAAACACUAAGGAAAUAGAUGAUAGAUUAAUUGUUUUGUUUUUAUUUUAAUUUAAUUAUGAAAUUAUCAUUUUGUCCAUUUAAUAAUCAUCCAAAUUUCAUGCUUUUAUUUGCACAAAAUCGUCCACUAAAUUCUUAAAUGGUCUAAUUACCAUUUAAGUCCCUUUUCAUUUAUUCAAUAAAUCAUUUAAUCACUCAAAUCAAAUAGUGAUCUAAUUUUACAUCUUUUAAGAUUUAAUCCUUUUUAAUUAAUUAACUAACAAAACGUUAAAAUUUCUUAACAAAACUUUAAUACCACCUUAAUGACACUCUGUAAAUAAUUAUAAAAAUAUUUAUGGUUCGGUUUAUAAAAAUGAGAUCCCGAUACCUCAUUUUCUAAAACCACUUGACCUUAGGGUCUUACCACUUGAACUUAAUAAAUCACUUAUAUAACAUAAAUUAUCAAAUCAAAAAUCUUUUUAAAACCAUAAUUGACUCAUAAAUAUUUGUAAAUAAUAUUUACGAACUUACUCAUCAGAUUUGUGGUCCCGAAACUACUAUUUUCGACACCACUAAAAAAAAGGAUAUUACAGAGUGGUUUCAAAAAUAGCCUCUGUUUUUUAGUUUUUUCGAGUUCUAAACGAUGUUUUGGGUUAGAAUCACACACCUGAUGUUAAUUCUGAUUGACCGCACAAUAACGCACUCCAAAUACUACAUACGGUGCCAAAACACAUUAAUUAACAAACACGAAUUAACCUAAUACUAAUAUUGAAACUCGAAUUCGACAAAUGGAACUUAACAAAAUUAGUCCCUAAACUAAUAUUGACCCCAUUACCAUGGAAAAGAUAGCAACCUCAAACCGUAUUUGACCAUCAGAAGAGUUGAUGUUUCAUGAACUUCACCUAUAGGAACCCAAAACAAUUAACAUCGAAUGUUUACAAAAACAUCUUAAAUCUCCUAGCAUAACCACGAAAUAGAAUUAAUUCACCUUACCGAUGAAGAACACAUUUACGAGACUUACACUAGAUCGAAAAUACAAAUUCCUCACUCAGAACUCAACACCAAAACGAUGAUUCGCCAGUAAAAAACAAUAACUGGGAAACGACAAUAGAUGAACAACAAUUGAACUUGCAAAUAUGAACCAAAGCAAAAGAGCAAAAAUGAGGGGAAAUGGAGAAAAAAAUGGCAAAUGAAGUUUACAAACACAAAAGAAAAUAGCUAAAAUAGAAAAUGGGGAAAAUAUGCAAAUAAAAAUGGGAUGACAAAUUAAUGGAAAGAAAGGGGAAAAUGGGGAGCAUUCUUAGGGAAUAAUUUGCAAAACUACUUCCCACUAAAUCCACUCACUAACCUUUUAUUAGAUUCCUUCAUAAUUCAAAAUAAACUCAAUUUCAACCAUAAGGAAAGUACAAAAGGGAAUAGCAAAAAUAUUUCUCGUUUGCACACGCAAGGAUUUGAACACAGGAUUAAAAGGUAAGCUAAAGUCCUACCAUUAAAUCAGUAAGCUUAUUCUUACUAACAACUGAGCAAAAGUAAUUUAUAAAUCAGAUGUUCAAAGAAAAUUGUUUAGGCAAAAAUAGCAAAAAUACAAGGCAAAAGAUUCAAAGUCAAAACCUCUCUCACACAAGCACAAUACUUAACCACUGAACCAAAUUAACCCACUUGUCAUAAUUCCAACAACCUUUACUCAAAAACAUAACAUGACCACUCUUGGUUUCACUAACCCAAUUUUUUUUAACCCAGUUUUUGGGAUGUGACAGAGAGAAUACCAAAAAAAAUAUGAAAAUGUACAAAAAAUUACGAGGGAAUUUAAAAAAAUUACGAGAAUGUAUAAAAACUAUGAGAAAAUACUAAAUAACAUAAGAGGAUACCAAAAAUUGUAAGGGAUACCAAUUUUUGGUUCAUCUCAAAUUUUCAUUUAUUUAAUUUUUUAUAUUUUUUUAAUUAUCAUGAAAUAUAAUUUUUUUCUUACCAAUUUUUAGCAUUAAAAAUUAUAAUUUAACAAUUAAUUUUUUUUCAUUGCAAAAUAUCAUUGAAAUUUCUUAAUAUUUAAAAAUAAAUUUUUAUUUACUCCAAAAGUAUAUCUCUUAUCAAACCUUCUUUUUGAAACAAUGCCAAAAAUUAUGAGGAAGAACCAAUAAUUAUAAGUAUAUACCAAUUAUUAUGAUAAAAUCCCAAAAAUUAUGAUAUACCAAUUAUGAACUUGUAAGUUGUUCAAUAGAAGCUCACAAAAGAACCUCUCGUUGGAUUUGGGUGUAACUACUUAUAAUUUUACAAAGGUAACAUGUUUGGGUAACCAUUGUAAUUUGUGUGUUCCACCAAAUUGGGUGUAAUUGAAGCACCCUUAAUUACACUUUUCAAUUCUUAGGGGAGGGUGAGAGUUAGAUUAAUUACACAGAUAAUUACACCCAAAUUCAAUUUUAAAAUAAUAUUUAUUAUAUUAUAAGCAUGACAUGUAUGACUGUUUAGGAGGGUUAUGUCAACAAAUUUCUUAUAUUAUAAAUCUUAAAAAUUAUAUUAUAAAAAUAAUUUAUGUAUUUUAUAUGGUUAUAACAAAAAAUUCUUAUUUAAAUCCUAAAAAAAUUCUAAAUUUAUGGUCAAAAAGUUUAUUAUAAAAAAUUACAUGUUAUGAAAGUUUUAUACUAUAGUUAUUUAUAAAAAAUUAUGGCCAAAGUAUGGACAUAACUUAUUUCUGUGUUCAUGAUGUAUAUUAUAAACACAAUAUACUUAUUCAUAAAAAGUGUUAUAGUUUUAUUUUAUCAUAACUUAUUUAUUAAAAAAAAUUUAAAAAUAAUGGUAUAUUAUUUAUAAGAAGUAUUAUGAAAGUUUUGGACAAUUUAUAAAACAUUUUUUAUAAAGGUUAAAUAUUAUAAAUUUGAUAUUAUUUUGACUUAAUUUAAGCAUUAUAAAAAGGGAGAUAACCUAGCAUAAGUCUUUCUCCAAAUUAAGUUUAUAUAAGUUCUUAUAAUUAAAGAUACCAGAUUAUUUGAACAGUGAACCUAAAUAUUAUAAGGUCGAUGCUGAUUAUGCAAAUUAAAAAGACUUUUCUACACCAUAUUGUAGGGUAUGAUACCAUUUGAGAGAAUGUUAUCACACCUAAACGCCAUAGACAAUUCGCGAACUCUUUAAUUUGACAUAUUCAACGCUUUGAAAUGUGGUUGAGAAGACAUUUUUUGUUUUCUUUUAAAUAUUUCUCAUAUUAACAACAUCACCUUAGUAUAGCAUAAAAAAUGUGGAUCAUACUAACAUGUUGCAUAUUUUAUAACUUUAAUUAUAGGUGGAAUUGAGAUGAUCUAUGUAUUUCAAAGAGUACAUGGAAGAAGGAGAUAUUGAUAAUCUUAAUGAUGCAUAUUCAAAUUCAAAUGAUGAUGAACUCAAUUAAGAACAAACAGAUAAUGAUGAGAAUUAAGAAGCAUAAAUUAAAUAUUAAAUAUUGAAUAACCCAAUAAAUAUGCAUUAGAAUAAUAGAUAAAAUUGCAUAUGAUGUUUAUCUUUCUUGAUAUUUUUUCAGUAAUCGUAUUAUCAUCUACUUUUUUGGACUAACAUAAUUUAUAUAACGAUUUGAUUUUAAUUUUUGCUACUUGUUUAGAAACUCUUUCCAUCUUACUAAAAUUUUUUAUAGUACUUAAUAUUUAAAAAAAUAUAAAUUAUUUAACUUUGUAAUUGCAAUUUUUACUAUCAAACAUGAGUCAGGGAGCCACACUAUAAUUAUACUCUAUCAGCUAAAUACAUCUAGGGAAUUAAAAUUAUUUGCAAUUACAAGAGAGUGUAAUUACUACCCUAAUAAUUACAUAUGUGUGGAUAUAUAUAUAUAUAUAUAUAUAUGUAUAUAUGUGUAUGAAUAUGAUUAUUGUGGGCGAAUUUGAGAAUUUGGCUAUUCUGAAAAUUGUGAUUGUGAGUUCUGAGAUAUUAAUGAUGGUUGCGUUGUAAUACAUAUACCAUGAAUUGAAUUGCUUUCUAUGAUUAUUUCAUGCAAUGUUAAUUAAUGUGUCUUAAUAACCAUUGCUUUGAUUUUAUUGUAAACGGAUUCACAUUGAGCAUCAAAGCUCACUCCCCCUUAAAUUUUCAUCCUUUCAGAUAAGCUACCAAGUAAGGAUGCAAAUGUGGCAUCCGAAGGGACUCAGCUUAGUUUCGUUUUUCUUAACAUUUUAAGUUUCAUUAAUAUUCUUUAUUUCCUUUAAAAUAUUAUAUUAUUUAUUUAGAAACCGUGGCGUGGGAUUUAGGAUUUAGGUUUGUUUUAUUUUGCAUGCCAUUUUAAUUGAACUCUUAAGAUAUUAUGCUAUAAUUAUUAAUUAGUAUGCAUGAACCUCCAAUUUUCCUUAAAACCAAUAGAUAUUGUUUUUUCUACUGCUAAAUUAAAAUAAUAAGGACAAUAAAAUGAUUUGUAACUAAGUUUUCAACUAAAUUAAAUAAAUGUUUUAAAAUAUCUUGUUUUCAAAAACUCUGAUAAUCUUACUAGGCCAUCUUAGUGGUUGAUGUAGUCUCAUGAAUUCAGGUCUAAAGUCUAGGCCGGGUUGAGAAGGUUACAUUUCUCACUGAAACUUUCCUUGUAUUCACACGAAGCCUGAAAUGUUACCCCCAUCCCAACUUUCUUAACCCUAAUUUCCUUACGUGGAUCAUUAAUUUGUAUGCCUUUUUAUUUCAAGUCGUUUACUCUUAAUUUAACCCCAGCUAAGAUUUUUUUUUUUGGCCCAACACUAACUUCCAACUUCUCUUUAUUUUUUAACCAGUUUGUUCAUGAACCUCUAUUUUCUCCCAACGAGAAGCCCAAAGUAGGCACAACAACUUUAUUGUUAUCUUUUGAUAGCUCUUCAAUAAUUUCAGCCUUUGCAACCCACAAAUCUUCAUUCCAAUCAGAAAUUAAAGAGAAACGUGAGCCAUUACUGUGGUUUUGUUGAUUUGUUUCCAUAUUCAUUUUUCUCCAUAUAGGCCUUCAUGAAUGAAGCGAAACAACCAUCCAUGAGCCAAACUCCUUAGCUUCCUCCCUUUUGUUUAAUUCCGCUAGUGCUAAGGUUUUGACGUUCAUGUUCUCUUCCAUCUGGUUUUCUGUCAGUUCCUUUCAUCGUAGCUUAGGUCAUACCUCCUUUUGAUGGCCAUAAAAGCUACCGCCAAAGUAAACAUUCGAUAAGCCCUCAUACUACACUCUUUGUAGUUUGCCUUCCACACGAACAUUAGAGAUUAAAGGACGAUUGAGAUCAACACUUACUGCCAUCUUCGCAGAUUGGCCCCUUAUCCGAUUUUCCGUUUGAUUAUCCACCUUGAUCAAUUGGCCAAUUGAAUUACCCACCGCUUCUAGUAAGCAUUUUUUGAAAAAUGAUCCUGAUAAACCUGGGAGUUGGAUCCAAACCACUAAAUGAUUCGGAAGGCUUUGAGAAGUAUUGAACGAAGAUAACCAUGCUUGAACUGUUAGGUAUUGAUCAUAAAUCGUCCAAAGACCUUCAAUUGGCGCCUUAUUAUAAUCUUCUUUUGACUAAAACUUAAUGAAAUAGUAAUCAUUUUCUAAGUUUGAUAGCAAGUUAAUCUUGUGUUUUUAAUGAACUUAUUUUUGGACAAAUUUUGAAUAGAAUGCUACUAAGCAUGUGAUUUCUUGUUUAAAUUUAGUCAAGACCCAACUAGACUGUCGAAGUUCAAAUAAAUAAGCAAAUUGGGCUAAAUUGGAACGAAAAGCAAUAAAAUGUGUCAAAUUGAAAUGUUGUAGAAUUAGUGGUUGAUUAAAAAUCAGAUUUUGAAUUUUUCAAACUCUAUAAAUGGAAAAAAAAUCUAAUUUUAGUUGGUUGCUAGGCAUAAUCUUAGGAGGAAUCAUGCUAAAUUUAGCAUAUGAGAAGUGUAUAAAUACCUUGGAGGCAUGGAAAGACACUUGAAAUUAAAUUAAAAACAUUUUUUUCCCUUUUCACGCGUCUGUGGCUAUCAAGCUACUGCCAUUUUUUUGUUCCCUUAUUUUUUUGGUUCAAUUGCUCUUUAAGUCCUUUCUCAUUCUCACCUAUCACCAUUUCAAGUAAAUUCAUUCUCUUAAUCCAACAAAGCAUGAUUAAUCUCAUGUUCAACUAAACCCCAUUUAGCCUUAGGCUGAUUGUCAUUUUGGUCGAAAAUCGUGAGAUAUGAAUCUGCACUAAAACUUUACAACACGAUAUUCAUUAUCUCUCUGGUAUAUGGGAUAGUCACAUUCAUCCCUUAAAGUUAAUCAAAUUUCAGCUCAAAGUGCACGUUGAGAGGGAGUUGUUUUGGUGAACAGUUGGGAAAAUAAGUCGGUCGUCUACCAUAUUCGAGUUCCUAUGAACAAAUUGAAGUGUCCAAUUGGAAAAAGCUAGUUGGAUUCCGUCAAAAGAAUGAUGAUUGGAUUUAAACGACCCAUGCGAUUAAGGCCGUUAAUUCGAGUUGGGCUUUUCUAGAUCCUAGGGAUGCCGAUAUCUUAAACUGCGGACACAUGUUACGUGGUUAGAUAAUCGAUAAUGGUUGGUUUGCAGGUCGUACCUGAACCAACUACACAAAGAAGAGUUGGCGGUUAAGGCGUCCUUAAUCGUUAUAACCAACUUAUUGUUUGGAAGAAAGAAAUCCACUUUCAAGGAUCGAUUCGAGUUUGAAGUGUACCGAGGCUAAGGCUAAGCAUUCACAUAUUUGAUUUACCAACUUAAUUUAUUUUCAUAAUUAUCAUUCUAUUAUUAUUUCAUUUCAUUUUAUAUUUGUUUUUUUCAACUAAAUUCCUUUUUAUUUAUUUUUCAGCUCUGCACGUAUAAGUCAUGGGCAUGAUAGCUACCUAGACUCAAGAAUUUGGUCAAGUAAACAUGAAAAUUAGGAAUCCUAGUCCCUGUGGGAUCAACCCUACUACUCUAUACUAUUGUUUAAUUCAAUUAGAGUGUAGGAAAUUAUAUUUGGUGGUUUUAACGCCAAUCAAAUUUUGGCAUCGUUGUCGAGGAUUAGAAAUAAUUAUAAUUUUCAUUUAUUUUACAUAUGAAAUGUCAGAACCGGGGACCUUAGAGUUUGAACAAAAAAUUCAGAAGUAAGCUUGAACAUUCUGAAGAGAAGCUAUUCGAUGCGAAAAACAACCGCCAAUAAAAUAUGAAACACUGUCUUAUACGAAAGAAAUUGACGAUAUACACAGUGAACUAGAAGAAAUGGUAAAUCAAACCAUUCGACAGCUCGUUGCAGCCUUGGAUAAGCAAGAACUGCUAUUCAUAAGUUAUCCAACGAGAGGAACACCAUUUGAAUUAAAGUCGAGCUUAAUUCAUUUACUGCCCACUUUUCACGGUUUGAAAAACAAGAUCCCCAACACUUAUCUUAAGGAGUUCCACAUGGUUUGCUUAAGUAUGAAACCUUAAGGAGUAACCGAAGAUCAAAUUAAACUUUGAGCUUUUCAUUUUUUGUUAGUCGGCUCUGCUAGAGAACGAUUAUUUUAUUUACCUCCAAAAUCUGUUAACACAUGGUCUAAUAUGUCCCGUUUAUUUCUUGACAGUAGUUCGGGCAGUCGAAUUAAAGAGAGAUAUUGUCAAAAUAUGACAAAAGAAGACCAAAUAACUUUAUAACUACUGAGAGCGAUAUAAGAAGUUGUGUGAAAGUUGCCCAAAACAUAGCCUAACUGAACAAUAACUUCUUCAAUAUUUCUAUGAGGGGUUAAUCCCUAUGGAAACAUAGAUGAUUAAUGUCGCCAAUAGAGGAGCACUAGUUAACAUGACUCCUCAAAGAACAAGGGAAUUGAUUUCAACCAUGGCUGUGAAUUCCCAACAAUUUCAACCAGCUAUAGAACCCACAAAAAGGGUUUAUGGGCUAAGUACUCUAACCUUAGAAGAUAAAAUUGAGAAGCUCACUAAUGUAGUUCAAAAUUUACUUGCAGGAAAAAUGAACCCAGCUCAGUUUUGUGAGAUUUAUGCUAUGCCUGAUCAUCCAGCAAACUCGUGUCCAAUUUUACACAAGGAUAAAACUGCAUAAGUAGAUGCCAUUGGGAACAUCCUAAGGCCACCUUGAAGGUAUUAUGAUCCACAUUCGAGUACUUACAAUACAAGGUGGAGGGACCACCCAAAUUUGAGUUAUGGAUCGAUCAAUGGUACAACCAACCAUAUCAGCCAAGGCCACCUCUGCCUCAACAAUUUCAACCUCCAAAGUCAUCUCUUGAGACCACAGUGGAGAGAUUAGUUGUUAGCACCGAAAAGUUCCAACAGAAGACAGAAACACACCUAUAAGAAAUAGAUAGGACAAUGAGUAAGCUUGCGAUUAUGUUCAGUUGAUUGAAGUCCCAAGGGAAGUUGCCAUCUCAAAUAUAGUCGAAUCCACGACAAAAUGCAAGUGCUAUGAUAUUAAAAAGUGAAAUGAUUUUAGAGCCAACACUUGGCACGAGUCAUGAUCACGACACUGAAUGGAAAGAACAGAAACUUGACCCAGCAGCUCUUUCGGAGUUAGCACCGUAGAAACCGUUCGUGGUACCACCUGCAUUCCCUAGAUGGCUCGCCUAAUGUAAAUAAGAACUAGAAGAGAAAGAAAUCUUAGAGACUUUCUGGAAGGUAGAAAUUAACAUCCCAUUACUUGAUACAAUCAAACAAGUUCCACGUUAUGUGAGAUUCUUAAAAGAGUUGUGCGCUGGUAAGAAGAAGCUCCUAGGUAACGAGAAGGUAAAUGUAGGAGAAAACAUCUAUAUGGUUUUACAAAAUAAAAUCUCACCUAAGUGUAAGGACUAAGGUAUGUUCUCUAUAUCCUGCAAAAUAGGUAAUGUUGACAUUAAAAAGAUCAUGUACAAUUUAGGUGUAUCUAUUAACGUUAUGUCUCUAUCUAUUUAUAAAUUGCUCAACAUGGGUCAUUUGAAAGAAACAAUGGUGAUAUUCAGUUACUGGAUAGGUCAGUUAUGUAUCCGAAAGGGGUGUUGGAAGAUGUCCUCGUCAAGGUAAAUGAAGUAAUUUUUCUUACAGAUUUUUACAUAAUCGAUAUGGAGGAUGACAACUCAAAAAAUUUCUCCAAUAUUCUACUCAUGAGACCAUUUUUAAGCACCACAUGUAUGAAAAUUAAUGUCUGGAGUGGAAUGCUCACUAUGGAAUUUGAUAGUGGAGUGGUUAAAUUCAAUGUUCAUGAGGCGAUGGGUCACCCAUGUACAAUGACAAAUGUCUUUAGCAUUGAUAUUAUUGAACCAUUGACAAAGUUACAUUUUGAAUAUCAUAAAGAGGAUGACAUACAAAAUGUACUUUGCAGGAGUUUAGAUUUUGAUGCUACGGAAAAAUUAGAAGAAUCAGUAACGAUCGAGCAUAAUGCAUUGCCUCAGAAGGUUAGUAGGUGAAUAGAUAAACAUGUAAUUCCAUCCCAUUUCAUGAAACAUAACUCAAUAACAAAUCAAUAUACAUAUCAUCCAUCAUGUAAACAAUUAAUACACUUUUCAUUUUAAACACAUACACCAACAUUUUCCAUUCCACAUUAUAAUAUAACAUAAACCUUUUUAUAUAUAUACAUAUUCAAAUGAAAAAUUUAUCCCCCGUUGAACCAAAUAUAAUAUCAUCGGAUACUUUGGAAAUGCUUACACGAGCUUGAAAUGGGCUUGGUUACACGAGCUGUGGGUCAGGAUGUUAAGCUACACGAUGCUGCUCACACAAGCUGUGGAAAAUCUACAACAAAUAUAAGAUCUUAGCCAUCGAUAGGACAUCCAAGACUAGCACCCGAAAUCGUAUAACUCAUAAUGACAUGUCAUUUGUAACCUAAGUAUUCUCGAGGUUCAAACGAGACAUUUUCUAUUUUAAAUCCUUUAACUUCUUUCCAUUAUACGUUUUCUAAUAUAAACAUUCAUGACACACACAUUUUUUUCCCAUUUAUUCAUCAAUUGAAAUAACAUUACAAUUUAAUCCAACUUAUUAAUUAACAAUUUUGUAUUCAAUAAAAGUUAUACAAAGCAUAACCUCAAACAAUCAUUUAUCUAAAUUGGAAAUUAACAAGUUUACCAUUAUACAAACUUACUUUGACUACCACAGUUGCAAAAAUAGAAUCGACAACUAAUCCAAGAUUUAGCUUUUCCUCAAUUUAAAUUCGAUCGUGGCGUUUCUUGAUCAUGCAAGCCAACAAUACUUGACUGAAAGCUUCUUACUCCUCUAAUGGUGGUUUCGGUUAGAACCAAGAGAAAUGGAGAAGAUGAUGACAUUUUGGUUUAUUUGUUUAUGCAUUUAUUUAUUUAUUUAUUUAUUUACCAAUUUACACUUAAGAUUUCUUUUAACAAAAAGAAAAACAAAGCAUAAUGCCGUCCAACAUGCAUUCACAUCGUAUAAUGGCAACAUAAAGCCCUUAACUUAUAAUUCCAUGACAAAUUAGCUAUUAAUUCUAACUUUUGCAACUUUUACGAUUUAGUCAUUUUCAUUUAAUUAACUAUUUAAACCUUAAAAUUUCUUAACUAAAAUUAAUAUAACCUAAAUAAAUACUCAUAAACAUUAAAUAAAUAUUUAAACACUAGCUCAAUUUUCAGAAUCGUGGUCUCGAAACCACUAUUUUCGACACCACUGAAAACAAACUGUUACAUUGUUGUCGUUAAUUGUUUCUGUUAACAUUUGUCACCUUAGUGUGUAUAUUUUCUAUCAAUCGUAUGAUAUGUCACACGAGGGAAACUUAAUUAACAUGCUUUGGCAGAAAAUACUUAUGAUUUUAAUUACUGGAAUAGAAUUUUGAAAUCAAAAUAAUUUGAGGACUUAAUUUUUAACUUUUUAAGUACAUGGGCUAAAUAUCAAAUCUUGUCAAAGUACAAUGACUAACUGUAAUACCUUAUACCCAGCCCAGUUGUUGAGCCUGAGUAAUAGGACUCUACAUCAAACAUUGAACUUAUACAUAUUCACACAAUCUCAAAUACAUGCAACCAUCGUCACUUUCAAAUAUUUAGAGGAGUAUUGAGUCUUUAACACCUUAGGUAACAUUUAAAACGACUUAACAAAUGUUUAUUGACAUUAAUAACAAGUUAAUCAUCUAUGAGGAUCAUCUAACAAAAAUUCCCAAAGAAAUCAUGUAGGUAUUGAUACUCAGUCGCAGGUAUCGAUAUUUAUGAAAAUAUGUAUCGAUAGCAUCAGAAAAAUCAAUACCUUUUUAGCAUUAUGUUUCUUCGCAAAUUUUUAGAACCAAACAAAAUAAUCAAUACAAAGCAAAAGUAUCAGUACUUUUACCCUGAGUGUCGAUACUCGUGAAAUGGUAUCCAUACCAAAAUGAGCUAUUAUUUACCUGCACAUUCGAUACAGCAUAGAGGUAUCGAUACUUAUGCUUGAAUAUCGAUAUCUCUGCACUAAACAUAAAAAAUAUAACGAAACGGGGCAAAAAUUCAUAUAAACAUCUUCCUAUUCAAUAGGCAUCAAAACCUCAUUAUUCAACACCAAAAUGACCAUACUUGUAGUUCAAAGCAACAUCAAUAUUUCAAUUAUUCAAGCCAAAAUAAAACCAAUAAGAUGGUAAUAAACAUCCAUCAAAUCCUAAGCGUCUAAAUUCAUAGUAAAACUUUAAAAACAUAAUAAACAUCAACCAAAAUCUCUAACCACAUUGCCUUUAUUUCAACAAUUCAAAGAAUAAUCAAAAUGUCACCUACUUAAUUUAUUAAGCUUAACUUGGAUCACUUCCUUGGAAUUGCACCGCUCCAAUCGUAAUGCUAAAUAUCUGCAAUGGUUUAGAAUGGAGUGUGUGAGCUUAAAUAAGCUCAGUGAAUGUACAGAAUGACUGCAAAUACAGACAAUGUUAUACAUUAAACGAAAGCCACAAAAGACAUAUUCCCAAUAAUGUUUAACUAUAGUGCCAAAUUAAGAUAUUUAUGUAUCACUUACUAAUACAUCUAACAUUAUAAUCACAUAUUGAUACAUACAUCAUAAUUCACAAACAAUUCAUUAAUUGAUACUUUGGCAACUUGAGAUUGUGAAACAUAAAAGUGGGCUUUAUCACCAUACAUUGGAUACAUGGGUCUCCAACACACUAAUGACUCGAGGAGUCGAACGUCUCUCAAAAGUGUAGCAAUAAGUUAACACUUUCCAAUACACCAACAUAUCCUGAUGAAUGGAGCUUAGAUCACACUCCUUUAUCUCUCCAAACUGUCCUAGGCCUUAAUGCCCCAAAAUCACAACACAAAGGUGAGUACUCACAAAAUCCUAUGGCAUGCAAACUAUAUCCAACGAUCUCGAAAGAUUACAAGGCCAAAGUAUCCACAAAUAAACACAUAUUUACUUACAAUUCGUUGCACACUGUCACUGUACAUUUACAUCAUUAACACAACGUCAUCACUAUUAGUUGGCAUAUUUAGCACGCUCACAAAUGAAACAUUUCAAAAGAGCUAACACAACUUAUAUAACAUAUCACAUUACCACAUCAUACUAUUCAAUCCACAACAUAUAGUCACAAUUUUUGCAAAAUAAUCGAGAGGAAUAAGAAAGCUUACACUCGGAACUUAGAGAAGGGAUUUAGGCUACUCCUAAGCUCCUAUUUAACACUAUGAAUCAUGUCUACAAACAGUGAUUCCAAACACUCACCGUUCAUGCUUUCAUCUAAUUGUCGAAAGUUUAAACUAGUUUCUUCUUACCUUUCGCCUUACUCGAAGAAGGUCCUAACGAUUUCGAAGCUUCACAGAUAAAAACCACACAAUAUACACAAUUAAUUUACAGUUGUAAACACAUUUCAACAAGCAAAAACGCUGGUCUAAAUUAGUUCCUCUUGAAAUUGAAAUUUUCGACUAGCAUAGUUGAAACUCAAAUAUCUUAAUUCAUAUCACUUAGAAUUGAUUCUAAACAUCUAAUUACUCAUCUAAGAAUAAUUCUCAAACUUUAAAACACCCAAAACUGCUCUGAUUCAUGGUUCCAAAAAUUUGACAUACAUGGUUAAUUUUUAAUGAAAAUUCAACAAAACCUUCAAAUCUUUUAACAAAACUUUAAAACAAUUUUAAAAACCUUCUAAUCACAUCAAACAAGUUGAAAAACACUUUGAAAUAGUAAUUUCAUUCAAAAUUCUAGAUUUCACCAUUAACGACUCCAAUUUCGGCUAACAUGGGAAAUUCUCGAUUCAAUUGAUUAAAACUUGAUUUAAAAGACUAGACUACAUCAAAAACUAUUAGGAAAGUGAGACAUUACCUUGAUUAAAGGGGAAACGAACGUUUGAUUGAAAAUCCGAAAAAACUCACUUGGAAAAAUCAAUGGAUUUAAUGGUGUCCUUGGUGCUUUUUUUUUAAUUCAAAGGGGUUUUAAUGUUUGAAGGAUGAUAGAAAACAAGAGAUUGGAGUAACGAAGAUAAAAAAUUGAAGGAUUAAGUUUAGGGGUUUUCUUUCUAAUGGACUGUACAAAGAAAAGGGUGAGAGGGUGUUUCUCUUUGUUUUUUUCUUUCACAGUCAAAAUAUAGGGUGAAAGCGGGAAAUAUGAGUUGAUUUUAAAACUUGGUAUAAUUAAUUUAAAGCUACUCCUACAUUAAACCAUUUUACAAAAUGAUACUCUUUUUAAAAUUUAAAGCCUAUUUCACACUAUUUUCAUAAAUUGGUUUAAAAUUUUUAAAGCCAUAAAUGAAAAUAUUUUCGAGUUAUCACAUUCCGAAUUUUUGAACUCAUUUCGUGCUACAAUUCUAAAAUUACCCUCGAAAAUUCUAGACCCAAUUUUGGGAUGUGACACUAACAUCAUAAUUUAACCUAAAUAUAAAUAUAUAAACAAAGUAAAAAGUAAGCGUAUUAUAUAUGAAUAAUUAUUUAAUACACCGCUAAUAGAGAUUUUUGAACUCCACAAGCAGAUUGAGGGUGUGACAAGUCUCAUAUUUAUUUAUAUAAUUAAUUUUUUAUUUUUAUUAUUACAUCAUAUAAUACCUUGUCAAACCCUCAACUCACUUGUAGAGUUUAAAAAACUUCACUAACGGUAUAUCAAAUAAUUUUUCAUUAUAUAAGGGGUGAUAUUUGGUACACUAGUAAUGUAUUUUUUUUUCAAGCUACUUUAAAAAAUUGCCAUAUGUCUUUUGUAAAAAUAUAUUUUACUAUGCUCCUAAAGGACACUUGUCAACCCUGAUCUUACUUGUAGAGUCUGAAAACUUCACUGACGGUGUACCAAAUAUUAUUCAUAUAUAUAAUAGAAUUUUUUAAGUUACAAAGAUUUUCUUUUAAAAUUUAUUCGAUAAUAAAUAUAUAGGUAGAACAAUAAUGAACUUGUAUUGUAAUACUAUUGAAUAUGUGUUUGAUCCUUAGAUUUAUAGUUUUAAAUUAUUUUAUUUAAAUACGAUAUAAAAUAUGAAAAGAGAAAAAUAUCAUAAUAAUAAAUUAAUUAUAGUUUAAAAGAAAAAAAUACUUCUAUAAUUUCAUAAUUAAGUUGACGACUCAAUUAAUGAUAAUAUCGAUAUAAUAAAGUGUUUAAAUAGAAGUAUUAAAUUAAAAUUAUUAUAUAUAUGAUAAAAUAAUGUCACAAAUUAAAUAAAAUUUAUAUCGAAGGGUGAAGAAAAAAGGAUUUAGUGCAUUCAAAAUUUCACCGAGACAACUUGAUUUGAAGGUUUAAAUUAUCUUACUAGAGGUAGUUCACUCAUCCUCAAAUCAAUAAAAAAAAAUAUUUUUGAAAUAAGUAUGAUUAGUUAGAAAAUUUAUCAGGGAUGAUGGAAUUAAAUUGUAUAAUUUUAUAAGAAUUAAAAUAUAAUUUCACCAUUUAAAAUAUUAAAAUAUUAUUAUUUUACAGAGAAAAGUAUAAAUUUACUGUGUAGUAAUUUAAAAUUUUACAAAUUUCAAAAGGUAAAAAAUUAAAUUUUCCGGAUAAACCCCUACCUACCUUUCUGCUGCCGCCCUUCAUUUCAAGGUAAGCGAGAAAUAAAAAACCAAUUCGAGCCAUCACAUUUUGGAGCAUAUUUGGAAUAUAAAUUUAAAAUUACGGCCACUAAAAAUUAAUUUAAUUAGUAUGAUGUGAAAAUAAUGAUUCUAUAUUAAAAUUAACUUAAAAGUAUUAUAUAAAAACUAUUUUUUUUGAAAUAUAUUAUAUAAGAGUUAUGAUUAACUUUUUAUUUACUUGAAUUUUUAAGAAAUAUUUAUAAUUUCUUUUGAAAAUUUUACCAAAUAAUAUUUAAAAACUAUAAAAUAAAGAGAAUAUUCUUAAAAUAAACUCCAAAACCUAAAACCUAAAAUUAAUACCGAAGAUAGUAAAAGAAAAACUCCGUGGAAUCAAAUUGGGCCGUAAAACAGUUAAAAAGGCUAAAAAAUCUCAAGUCGGACCGGAUAUUAGACACGUGGGUAAUUGGCCCAUUUACGUUAAGAUUCUAAAAAUCGAACUCGACGACAGCUCCUCUAUAAAUACCCCUGGCCUCUGCAACCAAAUUUCAGUUUAAUUUGUCGCUCGUUUUCCAGCACUUAUAUACAAUUUUCACAAUUUUUUUUUAUAAAAAUUCAGAUAAAUGUAUAUUUUUUAAUUUUAAUUUUUUUUCUGUUAAUUUCCCUCUUUUAUUAACCAUCAAACCGAAAUUUUGUUCUUUCCUCUAAUUCUUUUCUCUCUCAGUUCAAUCCCCAAAGCCCUUAAAGAACUUCAUGGGUUUAGGUUAGGUUAAAUUGUUCUAGGUUUUCUUCAGUUUUCUUCGAUUUGCAGAAAUAAAGAAAUAUGGGUCACUCUAGCUUCCAAGGUCUUCAAUUUCACAUAUUUUUCACUUUCAUUUCCUUUACUUUGGAUUGAAUUGUAAAGCCUCUUUUGUUUUUCAUUCUUUUGAGCAGAUGAAGAUGACGAUGAAGAAGAAUACGAGGAGGAAGCUGGUGGGAGUAAUCGGCUUCUGGGUUUUAUGUUUGGGAAUGUCGAUAACUCCGGUGAUCUUGAUGCUGAUUAUCUUGAUGAUGUAAGUUUUCUUUUAUAAUUUGAUCCCCUUUUCUUCUCGGAGCUUAAAUUGUUGGCAAUUUAUGCGUGAGCCUAAACAAAACAUUUCUACGCUGUUGUGGCCGUUUAUGAAGCCGUUAAAGCUCGUUCUUUGCUUACUUUGUAUGUUAAGUAGUAUGUGGAAUCCCAAGUUCUUGAUGGGUUUGGAAUGUGCAACACUUCGCCUUUUUGGUGGAGCUGGGUUUGGAUGAGAGCAUAGGAUAAAAUGAAGCUGAUGUGAGGAAGGAGAGUGCAACACUUCGCCUUUUAUGCUUCUUUUUGUUUUUGCUGAAGAAGUAAAUGUACUUAUUUUAGUGUUUAAGGAGCAAUUAGGAUUUAGGCUUAUAUUAAUUUGGAUUUUGCACCUGAAGAGUGGUGGAACAGAAGCCUCUUGAAGCUUCAGUGAACUAUUUCUAAUUGAGUUUAGAAUGAAGUGCAUGGUGUGCAAAAGUUCAUUUGAUUUGAAGAAUCGCUAAAUUUAAUUUAAAUACAGAGAAUAACCAUGUUUUUUAUAAACUCGUUUGUUCUGCAAAUUCCUGUCAAAUUCAACUCCAUUAAAUAUGAAUCAAGUUGAAUGAAACUCUUACAAGUUUGGAGAAAUAAACUCGCCAAUCUCAUUUAGUUCAAUUACAAGACUCAAGCCAUGUAAAAUAAAGGCCAUAGAAAAGGAUAUUCUGUAACUAAAUUAGGAUCAAAUUCAGACUAGCGAACCCAAGCAAAUUAGUCGAAAGCACUAAUGAUACUGACACAUCAUUUAACAUUUAAACUAACAAAAAAAAAAAAAAACUUGUGGCACUGGAUUUUAUAUGGGAAUUAUAAAUGAUAUAAUAAUUAUUUGAGGUUAGCUUCCUUUGGAUCUGAAGGACUUUGUUUCUGUUAAAGGACCCAUGAUUUCACUUCAUACUUCUUAGCUCUUCCUGAACCUGAUAAACCUUGCAAGAGAUAACAUGCUAAUUUGGCUUGCACUGUCUAUUUAAGCUGUUAGUUUGAUGCUUGGCUGAGGGUUUUCAUUUUCGUACUGUUUUUUCCCCUGUUAAGUAUCUUUUUCUUCUUAGCAGCUUCAUUACAGAUAACAAACUUUAUUUCUUCCAGGAUGCAAAGGAACAUCUCGCUGCGGUAGCAGACAAGCUGGGUCCAUCUCUUACAGAUAUAGAUGUAUGUUUUUCUAUUACGGGUUAUCUCUGUUCUCUCUUCCCCCUAAGAAUCUAUGAUUCAUAAUAAAUAAAUAAAUAAAUCUAAUGCAGGCUAUCUUCUCUAGUGUUUCAUUAUUAUUUUUAAGUGAGGGCUUGUUUUGCUAAUGACACUGUUUGAUUGUCAGUUGUCAGAAAAAUCACCGCACACUCCAGCUGAUGCCGCUGACCAAGGUGAUGUUGUAUGGCCGGGAAAUCUAUCUCAUGCAGUUUUUGAUGUUCUGUUAAUAUGUUUGUUUCUUCAACUUGUUGACCAUGCUUUAUUUAUGCUGGCUCCAUACAAAUAAUCUUUAAGAUGCUUUAUGGGAACUUCUCUGCCUGUUGACUGAAGUUAGUGUUUGGUCAUAAAAAGCCCACUUGAUACUUGAUGGAGCUGUUUUCCUGGACUUGAGUCUACUGGAUUUCUGAAUGAUAGUUGAUUCAUUUUACCUAAUGAAUGAUUUGACAGGAAGCUUUUUCAUUUUACUGUUGGGGUACUGAUUUCUGAUCGAAUUAGUGUCGUGAUUAUAAAAAUGAUAUUGGAAAGUUAAAAGUUUCCUUUAUUAAUGUGCUUGAAUGCAUAUGGCAUUAUCCGGGCAUAGAGUUGAACUGCAAACCAUAAUGUUUCUAGGAAACUUAGUGCUUACAGAGUAACUUUUGAUUGGUAUAGAGUCCAUGAUUUGCUUUCCCUAACUACUACUGAACUGGUGGCUAGGUGGCCUUGUAAAGGCUGCUUUGCAUUCAUGAGCAAUUACCCUCAGCCAAAAACCAUAAGAAUGGUAUGAUGAAGCGUAGAAUAUUUGUUAUCAUGCUUGCAUAAGCCAGUUCUUGAGAUUGAAAAUCAAAAAGGGUUUUAAAUUUAAUGCCCCAGCGGAGCCUACUAUUUUGGUCUUGUCUCCUAUUGGUAAUCCACAUAAUUCUUAGUGAUUUUCUUAGGUUUUUUCCUUUCAUCAGGAUACGUGCCUCUAGGUGUGAUGUGUUUCUUCUAUAUUUGUUAUUUUCUGGAAUGUAGAUUACUCAUUUUUAAUCUUUUUUAUUAAAAGGCUAUGGAGGCUAUAUGUCAUUGCUUGGACAAGUUGUGUUGCUCAAAGGGUUUUAUGCCUCACAACAAUCUGGUGUCUAUCACUGGUCUAAUAUUCUGAUUAUGUGUUCAAUGUGGUUUCUCUAUGAUAGAUUAUGAUGAGAAGUAUGAAAAUGCUAUUGACUAUGAAGAUAUUGAUGAGGAGUAUGAAGGUCCAGAGACUCAAGCUGCUACUGAGGAGGACCAUUUACUUCCCAAAAAGGAAUAUUUUACUGCUGAUGUUUCUUCUGCUUUGGAGCUUAAAACCUCCGUGUUCGAUGAUGAAAAUUAUGACGAGGAUGAGGAAAGUGAAGAGGUGGUAGGUAAGCAUAUACAAGGUUCAAAUUGUUUAUCUGGUUCACCAGUGAACUGCAGUAUUUUUCUAGUUCAGUAAUGAUUAAUUUUAUCUGGCGGUAUAUUCAGUUUUUUUUUUUUGAGAGAAAAUAUCUUAACUGAUAAUCAUUGUGGUGACAAUCCAAUACUCUUAGUUGGGUGCCUUUGCUCAUAUUUAGGGUCUUGAAUGUUUGAUAACAACUAUCUCAUCCCUGAGUACCUUUCAUAUAGUCUUUUGAUCAAUAGAUCUUUUUUUGUCUUAAGAGAAAAAAGUUUGAUGUUGGAAAAUUAAUCGUGUUCAUUAUUCUAGACAGUAGGUCUUUUAUACUAUUAAAUAUAUCAAAUAGAAGGUUGCCUGUUUCAUUUGUAAUGAUUGUUAUAAAAACUUAUGUAUUCUACACACCUUGGACUGUGGUUUUUCCUCAUUUAUCAAUCUUUCUUAUUAUAUUUUUUAAAUUAAAUAAGAAAGUUCAGAUUUGGUUAUAGGUGGUCAAAUUUUCUCUUGUGUACAAAUUUCUCGUAAUAGAUUUGAUGAAAUUCUUUUUUUAUUUUGCUGCAAAAUGUGUUCUACAAAAUUGUCUGUGUGUGAACUGUAGACAUGGUAUUUUAAGCCUCUUUACAUGCACAAAGAAGUUAUCAAAAGCUGGUUUCUUGUUUGGUUAUCUCUUUCUACUGAUUAACUGCUAAAUAAUGGUUUAAUUACUUUCUAUGCUGGUUUGUGAAUAUAGACGGAUUCACCCCUAGUUAUGUACCAACAUGAUCUUUUAUUAUUAUUAUUACGAUAUGCUAUCUUCUGAUUAGUGUAAGUGAUAUCUUUGUGUCUUCUACAUAGUCACUAAAUUAACGGAAUAAGAAAGAAUUGCUAGUUUUAUGUGUCUAGUUGAUGAACAUAUGCUUUUCCUUUUUUAUGGAUUGAAUCUACUUGAUUAUGUAUUUAAUUACAUAUAUUGAGUUACAGUCUCUUUAUAUAUCUCCUUUUCCUUUUUUAUCUGAUGUAUAUAAUCUAUUCCCACUAAGGUAAUUUAAGUUAAGCUCUCUUACAUGCUUGUUUGUUUAGGAUCAACUAGCAGUGGUUACUUUGUUCUGGUUCUAGUUAAUCUACAAACUGAUUAGCUUACAUAUUUUCUUUGUGAGAAAUGAGAACUGAAUAGCUUACAUAUUAAUCUUGUGUUUUGUAGAGAAAGUUUAUUUCUUUUAUGUGAUAUCUUUUGACUUAUUUUAGAAUGUCUUUAAUUCUUUUCCAUGUGAUUUUCUUGGAAAAUAUGCCCAAGCAAUCCUUGGUCGGGUGCUUUUAUGGCAUCUUUCACCUUUGAUUGCAGUGUUUAUGACAAAUCCUAUCUUUUUUCUUUGCUAGACUGAAUUUUAGCACCUUUUUUCAGUUGAGCCGGAAGAGCAUCUUGCGGCAACAUUUGAAGUGGGGAAAUCUCCUGGGCAUGAUGUACAUUGUGGCUCUUCAGACAGUGAAGAUCAAGUAGAUGGUACUGAAGAUCUUCAGGUGCCUAUUCAGUGUAGUAUUUGGCUCUUACUAUUAUUAUCUUUAGAAUUUAAGUGUAAUUUGCCUUUUAGAAGUGUGAGAAAUAUUUGGACAACCAUGAUUUUUUGUGGGCAGAUAUUCCUUUUGGAUUGUCAUUUCAAAGAAAAUUAACUCAAAUUGUGUAAUGAAGUGAAGCCUACGCCUUUUAAAGUUGUUCAACACAAUAAGGCCCCCUAAUUAAAUGUUAAAUUUUCAAUAUAUAGAUUUAAGACAAUGUUUUGGUUUCUAUUAACUAGCACAAUGUUUAUUUCUUAUGUAUUAAGGCAUCAGGGUUAUAUUUGGUUUUUGCUAAAGUAGGGUCUAGCUGUAAAUUCUCAUGCUGUUACUUCCAUUUUGGUCUAAUAAUAGAGGGCUUCAAGCACUAUCCCUCUAAUUGCUUUUGUUAUAAUGACAUGUUUGUACAAGAAGUUAUUGUAUUCACCCCCCUUCCUGACUGCUCUUUGAGAAGUUGGUAUCUGAUUUCAAAUGUUGCUUUUAAUAACUUUACUGGACAUAUUUUGCAACAAGGUUGCUGUUCAGAAACUUAGAGUAGGAAAUUGCUUUUAUUUUUUCAUGAUUGCUUAGUUAGUUCUGUUUCUUUAAGUGCUCAACUAUGACAAACUCUAACAGGAAAUGUAUUUUUUUUUUUUUUUGUAAAUCAGUUCUUGAUUUUGAUUUGAUAAGGAAAAAUGGAUUUUAUUCUAAAUGUUGCAACAGGAGGAACCUGAUGCUCCAGAAGAGCCGUUGGAUUCUAAAGGUUCCACACCUCUGCCUGUUUUAUGUGUAGAAGAUGGUAUGGUAAUCUUACGGUUUUCAGAAAUAUUUGGUAUCCAUGAGCCCUUGAAGAAAGCGGCCAAAAGAGACCGUGGCUAUUUCACUCAUAGAGGUAUGUUGUCUAUGAUAAAAUGUUCAUACUUAAUGUGUUGUUAAAUCUAGUAGUGUGUGCAUGACAUCAAUUUUGGAGUUCAUAUGCACAAAAAAACUUGCACCUUUGUCUGUGUUAUUGGCCAUUGAUAUGGAACAUUUUAUGGCAAUAAAAGCAACAGAGGAAAAUAUAUCUUGGUGACUUUAGUUGCCAGUUCCCUAGAUCCCUUCAUUUUCACCAGUUGUGAUUUUUGGUUUUCCAUGUCAUUUGUCCAGAGAAGUACAAAUCUAUGGAUGCUUCUGAUCUUGUUGAAGAGGAUGAAGAGGCGUUUCUAAAGGACGCUGGUCAAGGUUUCUCAUUUAUUGGUUGGGAAAAUGCCAUCCAACAAGAUAGAUCUGAAUUUACGGAUGACGCUUUGGUGAAAGGAGGCUUGGAAAUUUCUGAACAUAGUGAAGAGCAUGUUAAGGAUAGUUAUUCAAAUCCAGAGGCAAUGAAAGAGGGGGUAGUAGUAAAUCUUUCUUCUGGGUUGCAGUCACCUUCACGUCCAAGGUUUUUUCCUCUUGAUCAGUUGGACUGGGAAGAACAAAUUGUUUGGGACAAUUCACCUGCAAGAAGUGGCAAUUCUUUGGAGAGUCCUGAAAUCUCUGUCUCUGAUUUGGAGGCGUCAGUUUCAAGAGAGACCAUUCCAGAGGCGGGGCAAAAUCUACUUUCUGAGCAGUCUACAGAAUCCUAUAAGAAGGACCAUGAUAGUGGCCUUUGUCAUUCCUCUAUUGUCUUGGAAUCGUUAGACUCAAAAACUUCUUCAGGACCUAUGGACCUGCCAUUCUUGGAAAGCAGAUUCCAUCCCCAACUCUUGAGGCUGGAAUCGCAGUUGAGAGUAGAUUCCUUAAAUGAUUCUGACGGUAAAACAGAUGUUACCAUGGAUCCAGAUAAAAGUGAUGUGAUGAAGUGUUUUAGAAAACUUACAUUGCAAAACACAGAUAUAACUGAAGGGUCAUGGUUAGACAAUAUUAUAUGGGAACCACAUAGUGUUAUUGCAAAGCCUAAGCUAAUUCUUGAUCUUCAAGAUGAACAGAUGCUUUUUGAAAUUUUAGAUAACAAUGAAAGUAAACAUCUUCAACUUCAUGCCGGGGCCAUGGUCAUUGCUCGAUCUGCAAAGCCAAGCAGUCGUUCUUCCGAGGUCUCGGAUCAUAAACAUCAAUCUGGUUGGCAAUUCAAUAUUGCUAAUGAUAAGUUCUACUUGAACCGUAAAGUUUCUCAGCAGUUACAAUCAAAUCCUAAUAAACGCAUGGCUCACGGUGUCAGAGUUCAUCAUUCAGCACCUGCACUUAAACUUCAAACAAUGAAGUUGAAGUUGAGCAAGUAGGUGUUCUUAUUAUAUCUUUUUAUUGUUUCAAUUCUUGUAUUUUCCUUUGGUAGCUUUGAAUACAUGCUUAUUUGUUUAUUUUUUUAUGCUGCUGAUAUAUGUACAUAAACUGGCAUUUGCAAUUGAGUUGUGUUCAGUUUGAAAAUUCAUAAAAAUUUUGCAGCUCUUUCUCAGGCUUAAAUUUAUUGGCAAUAUAUGUCGAUUUAUUCUAUCUACUAAAAUGAAGUUCAGUUUGUUUUAUCAAAGUAGUUUCAUCUAAUUAGUGAAAAGAGAAUAGAAAGGGUACAACAAAGGAGAGACUGAAGUCUCUUCCUGGUCUGACUUUGUAUAACAUCCUAUGCAUGCCAACUACUGGGGAAGGGAAGGAGAGGGUACAAAGGGAGAUGGAGUAUAGGGAGAAAGAUAAUAUAAAGUUCCCCAUGUUUGGGUUGCUUGAGAAGGGAGCACUAAUUUACUGACUUUGUUGGUUAAGAAUUUCUAAAGGUAGGAAAUGGUAGCCCAUAAUUUCUUUAUGAUGGAAAUAUUAAAACCAUCCUCUGUAUUGAAAGGAUAUUGAAACUAGAGAAAUUGUAGCAAUCUACCCCUCUUCCCUUUAAUCAAACAAGUCCCUGGUGCAUUAUGCUAAUGCACCCUUGAUUAGCAUUUGAUUUAAUUUUUAGCAAUGAGGAAGAUUCUGGUAUGGCACUGUAGUAUUUAUCCAAGAAAAAGUACUCUUUAUUACCCUGGUAUUUUUUUACAACAAAAGCAGAGCCCUUCUGAUUGAAGGUUUCUUAUAUUUGGUUUCUGAGUAGAGUAGUUAAUAGCUCAUUAGCGACUGUUGGCUGCCAAUCUUGGCACAAUCUACAAAAUUUUCACUAUUACAAUUGCUCUUGGGUAGGUUGUUGCUGUUAUCUAGCAGAAUAAGCCUUGAUCUUGCAUAUUUGUUAUCAUCUCUCUCUAUGCAAGUGCUUUUAAAAUUCUUUAGAACAAUGUCAUGCUAUAUUGGUGUAUUCCUGGUUAAAAAUUUUGUUUUAUAUUACUUCUAGCUCUUUCACAAUACUUGCUUUGCAAUACUGUGAAUAUAAUGUUCAUUACGUGUUAGAUUUCAGCUUUUGAGUUUAAUCUGUGAUCUUGCAGUAAAGAUUUAGCAAAUUUUCACCGCCCAAGAGCAAUAUGGUAUCCGCAUGACAUCGAGGUGGCUGUCAGGCAACAAGGGAGGCUGCCAACACAAGGACCCAUGAAAGUCAUAUUGAAGAGCUUGGGAGGCAAAGGUAGCAAACUACAUGUUGAUGCUGAGGAAACGGUCUCUUCUGUAAAAGCAAAGGCUUCUAAAAAGCUAGGUACUCAAAUAUCAGUUUUAUUAGCUAUGAACCAGAAGAUGUUUGCUCUUUUAAGUUAUUGCUUUAUGAACUUUAUGGUGUCUGGAUAACUGAAGGAUCUUAAAAGUUCGUUAUGGAAUUAUAUUAUUGUAGAUUUCAAGCCAUCAGAAACAGUGAAAAUAUUUUAUCUUGGGAAGGAGCUUGAAGACGAUAUGUCUCUUGCUGCCCAAAAUGUUCCUCCAAAUUCUCUGCUUCAUCUUAUUCGCACAAGAAUACAUUUGUGGCCAAGGGCACAAAAACUUCCGCGAGAGAAUAAGUCUUUACGGCCUCCCGGGGCAUUUAAGAAAAAAUCUGAUCUUUCUGUGAAAGAUGGUCAUGUCUUUCUUAUGGAGUAAGUUUCAACGCCAUUUUAUGUCCUGUUAAUACAUUUUAAAAUCUUGUGUUAUGGCAUCUUCCCAAUGGAGCAUAGUAGUAGCAUAUGAUCCAUAUAGUUGAUCCUAUGUAGUAGAGGAAGGUUUAUUCUUUCCUACCACUUAGGAAGAUUGGGCAUCAUGUUUGAGCAGAUAUGCCAGGCUAGGUAUUAAUGUACUGGUUAUGUGAUGGUUUCUGAUGUUUUUAACUGUCCUCAUGUUCUCCACGCUCUGGUUUGACCUAGCCAUUAUCUGAUGAAGCAUUUGAAGCUUGUAUCUGUCCAUCUUUUAUACUAUAAACUGCUAAACUCUGGAAGCUUUCAAUGUGGAAGCACAUGUAUAAUUUUGAAGUAAAUACCCUAAAAUACCAUAAAUUGUCUCUGUAGUCUGAAAUAAACAUGUUCUGUUAUUUGAAUUUCUGGGUUUGAUAGAUUUUGUUUACUUCCUUUUGAUGGAGAGAAUUUAAACAUAACAAAGAUCCUUGUUGAGCUAAUUUUCACAUAAUGGAAAUUAGUUCUACCCAUUUCUGUUAUGUUGUGGGUUAGAACAAGAAAUAAUAAGACUAGGCCUUGUUAAUUUUUUAGUAAAAUUUCUUAGCAUUAGCUGUUAAUUUUUUCUUCUCCAUUGGAUUUUGAACUUCCACUUGGAUAUAAAUUAAUGCUUCCUCUUUAUUAUUAUUAUUAUAUGAACAAUUUUCAUUAUCAUGAAUUUAGGGUUCUUGUGAAAAUAGGUAUAUUUCAGAUGGAAUUCUCAAGAGACCUUCACUAUUUUUUCACGGUUCAGGUACUGUGAGGAGAGGCCUUUACUUUUGAGCAAUGUGGGGAUGGGUGCGAACUUGUGCACCUACCAUCAGAAAACAUCUUCUGGUGAUCAAACUAGUGGAUUGUUACGCAAUGGAAACGAAACCUUGGGAAAUGUUCUGCUUCUAGAGCCAGCUGAUAAAUCACCUUUUAUUGGAGAUAUUAAAGCUGGCUAUAGCCAGUCAUCUCUAGAAACAAACAUGUACAAGGCUCCCAUAUUUUCCCACAAGGUGCCAUCAACUGACUUCCUAUUGGUUAGGUCACCAAAGGGAAAGCUUUCCAUACGACGUAUUGAUAGGAUUGCUGUUGUAGGACAACAGGUUUGUUUCAGCUAUAGGUUUUUCUGCAUGUAGCCUUCCAUGAAAUUAUAUCAAACUUGUUCCAUGAAUUCUACGGAGUUGUUGCAAUUUGGUGCUGAUUACAUUCGGGUUACUGAUUUUGUGCUGCAUGUUACUUGUUCUGCCCAUAUACUCAAUUGAUGUGUUGGCUGCCUGUUUACACCUGUAUUAGUGUUGCCCUUGUUGAUAUCUGUUAGCCAGGAUGGAACUGGCAUUUAUAAAGAAAUCUUAACCUGCAUGGAGCCUGUUUUCUUCCUGUUAUAUUAUUAGUUAUAUGCUUUGUAUUUGAGGCCAGAUAUGAGUAAAUUUUUAGAGAAGAGAUGUAGAAUUGAUGUCUAACAUCCAUUCAAUUUUAGGGCAUGGCCUGUCCAGUGAUCAGUUUGGAUUAACCUUCAAAUAAGGACUGGAUGCUCUAAUCUAUGAUGUGCUUGACAUAUAUUUUUAAUUAAGUAGACUACCAUUGAAUUCCUUGCUAGAAUCAAUAGAGUUGAAUCAAUUCAUCAUGUGUUUACGGGGUGUGAGUUUUUCUGGAACAAGCAAAUAUCCUAUGGUCACUUUUGUGUUGUCAGAAAUUUAAAUUUUGCAUAGUUCUCUUCUCUAACUUAAACUUUGUGUGAAUAAUUGCUAGUAACAGUAAUUAUUUGUAAGUUGAGGGUGGACAAAGGACAAAGAGACUAGAUUGAGGCUUCUAUCUGUGGUUGGGGCUUGGGGUACUUGUAUGUGAAUUUAUGCACAUUUUGUUUAUGCAUAGAGUGAAAUGCAUGUUUAUGAACAUGGGUUUCUGAUGCUAACAGAUUGUUAAUUUAACUUCGGCACCAUUUUUGUUAAACUAUGGGAAGUUUUCCAUGCUAAGUAGUUCCAGCUCGAGAAUUAUCUUGUCUGCUGGUACAUCUUUCAGUUAGGGAUGUUAAAUGCAUAAGUUUUGAUGCUUAUUUCAUACCCAUAUUGAGGUUGGGUUUUCUUAGCCCAUUUCUAAUUGGUUUUCAGUUGGAUGCUUAGCAAGGUCUUAGUGAAUAGGUUGGUUGUUGUUUGUUACUUUUUGUUCCCCCAGUCCUGCAAUUUUCAAGAUAAAUCCAUCUAGUAGAGGAUGGUAUGUGCACAUUAGUUCAUUUGAGUUUAUAUAAUGUUCUCUGUUAGUUUGUUAAGGAAUCAGCAUAAUGCAUAUAUCCGUUUCUGAUUUAUCCAAUUUUCCUUACGCAGGAGCCUCUCAUGGAGGUAUUUGCUCCUGGAUCAAAGAAUAUUCAGACAUAUCUUAUGAACAGAAUGCUGGUUUAUGUGUAUCGGGAGUUUUCCGCGUCUGCCAAACGUGGUUUGAUCCCAUUCAUGGGUACAGAUGAGUUGUUUACUCAUUUUCCUAACCUUUCAGAUGCAAUUGUCCGGAAAAAGCUGAAGGAAUGUGCUUAUUUGCGGGUAAUUUUUGUAGUCUUUAUUUUUUUGAAUUCUGGUUAACUAAAAAGUUGCUUGAUACCUGCUUUAUAUUCCUAUUUAUGUCUAUGAUCCUCAAAUUUUAAUGCUUAUUACUUUUCUGAUUCAUUCUUCUAUUAUCUCCUGUUGACUUAUUUGCUACACUUGCCUACUUUGCAUCUUAGAGGGAUAAAAAUGGACGACAGAUUUGGUCCAUGAAGCCAGAUUUCCACAUUCCACCUGAAGGCGUUCUUAGGAAGUUGGUGUCUCCGGAGCAUGUGAGUUUCACUAUCUUUUGUCUUAUUUGUUUCUUUUUCUUUACCUUGUAUAUUUGGGUCCUAUGUUAUAAGUGCAAGCAGAAUUAAGAUGUAGGCAAAUUGCUUUUACAAUAUAGAAAAGGUAUUUAGAAGGUAUAUUCCCGGUGUUGCAUAAUAUCAUAGCCAUUUUUAAUUUAACAAUGCUGCCUCGGUUGGAGCAAACAUUUGUCUCAAUAGUUCAUGCAUGAGGCCCUUUCUCUACCCUUAAACGAAAAUAUGUAUAUGUAUAUAUUAUAUAUUUCUCCUGUUAGAUAUGGUGAAAUAUUGGUUUGUGUGUUUGGUGGAUAAUAUCAAAUAACAUGCCUUUACGAUGGUAUCUGCUUGGUUGUUGAUUUUACACUUAUUUUGGUAUUUUCCUUAUGUGUACCAUAUGAACCAACAAGCUUUAUACCUUCUUUUCGGUGUUUUUAUUGUUCUUAAAAACUAUUCUGGAAGAUAAUUGAAUAGUAAAAUAAAAUUUUCCUCCGCAAGGUUCUUCAUUUCUACCCCUUCUAUUAAUUUUUUCUCCAUAUUUAAAAUCAAUAUGCUUUUAUUUCCAUUUAUUGGAGAAUAAAAACAUAAUGAAAAACAAGAUGAUUUGUUAUUGAUCGUGGCCCUUUCAUGAUUCAAAAUGUUUAUUAUGAAGUGAGAACAUAGAAAGGCUAUGAGGUUAGAAAUGCAUGCGCUUCCAUAUAUUCACCUAUCUUGAUUUUUUAAUUUCUCAAUCCUGUUCAGGUGUGUGCCUAUGAAAGCAUGCAAGCUGGCCUGUAUCGGCUUAAACAUUUAGGAAUUACACGACUUACAACUCUUACCAGUGUUUCAUCUGCAAUGAGUCAACUCCCUGAUGAAGCUAUAGCUCUGGCUGCUGCAUCACACAUUGAACGGGAGCUGCAGAUAACUCCAUGGAAUCUGAGUAGCAAUUUUGUUGCAUGUACAAGCCAGGUAAAUACAACUUCUGCUAAUAAAAAAGCACUUGACUUUUUGCUUUUCAAAUAGGUAAAAGCAACAAAAUUGCAUCUUAUGAAGUUGACCUUUCCAAUAAUAUUCUUUAAAAAUGUUUUGAUUGGGAAAGUGGCUUGUUAAGUAAGAAUUUGCUGUUUUAUUGUAUCAUUACUUUCUACUCUUCCCUUUUUCCAGGACAGAGAUAAUAUUGAGCGCCUGGAGAUAACUGGUGUUGGUGAUCCUUCUGGUCGAGGUUUAGGAUUUAGCUAUGUCCGUACCGCUCCAAAGGCUCCUGUGUCAAAUGCUGUGAUGAAGAAGAAAACAGCUGCUGCUCGUGGAGGUUCUAGUGUGACUGGUACGGAUGCUGACCUCCGCAGAUUAAGCAUGGAGGCAGCACGAGAGGUCAGUUUUUAUUGCAGAAACACAUUUAUUAUUGAAGUCUGACAAGAAAUUUGUCAAUUUCUUUUGCCAUUUUGAUAUUACCUAUAGUUACUAUAGCUUUUAGAUGGUGGUGGAUAUUCUAUGAUGUUACAUCUUCUUAAUGCUAUGUCGUAUGUACAAGAUAUAAAUUAGUUGUCUCUAAGCUUCUGCAUCUGUCAAAAUAUGCAGAAAGCCUGCAACUUUUCAUUUAAAGAAGCUUAAGACUUGAGAAGUUUUCAUAGGUUGAUUCAGGUCUAGAAUCAAGAUAAAUAAAGACAACUUCUGAUUUUGUUGUUAAUGACCUUUUGUUUUCUUGUUGUCUGUGGUAUGCAUGCUGAAGGUCAAUAAUAUUGGAAUAAAAGCAUUCAAGUAUGAAUGUUCUGACAUGUUUGAGUUCAGGAACAAAAGAAACUUUCAAAUUUACUGCAAAAAUAUUUAAAUUGAUGAUGUGAACAUUGAAAUCAAUUAUCUAGUUUGCUAAGGCAACAGCUUUUGCUUUAUUCAUUCAAUCCUUUUUGCUUUUCUGAAGAGGAAUAAGGAGGGUGGUGUUGGGUUUUAUAAUAGAGUUUCUAGACAAAUCUUUGAGUCUGAAUUGCUUCUAUCCUAAUUGCUUGAGUAAGUACAUGUCUAAUAGUGCAGUUAGUUAUACAUGACAUGUAGAUGAACGGCAGUGUAAUGUCUGAUAGUAAUAGGUUCAAUAUCAAGGACCAUCAGUGGUCUCUUAUCUUUUGCCCUUGUCAUCACUCCAAACUGAACUUUUUAUAUAGCAUAAACAAUUAUCUAGUUUAACAAAGUUCAGUUUUCAAUUCUUACUGCAAUGGUAUAUUGUUUUGAACAAUUUGUUGUUUCCAAGUUAAUAAAUUUAGGUAAAAAUGGCUGACUUGUUGCCCUUUUAUGUUUUUACAAGUGUGCUGUAAAUUUUUUGGUUUGUAUCUGCUGUCUCUUAACUGCUUUUUCUUUUUACCAGGUACUUUUGAAGUUCAAUGUUCCUGAUGAAGUGAUUGCAAAACAAACUAGGUGGCACCGUAUUGCAAUGAUACGCAAGCUCUCAAGUGAGCAAGCUGCAUCAGGAGUCAAGGUUGAUCCAACAACUAUAAGCAAGUAUGCACGGGGACAGCGAAUGUCCUUUCUUCAGUUACAACAGCAAACCAGAGAAAAAUGUCAGGAAAUAUGGGAUCGCCAAAUUCAGUCUCUUUCAGCUGUUGAUGGUGAAGAAAAUGAAAGUGAUUCUGAGGCAAAUAGUGAUCUUGAUUCCUUUGCUGGCGACCUAGAAAAUUUGCUUGAUGCAGAGGAAUUCGAAGAAGGGGAAGAAGGUAACAACAAUAACAAGGUUGACAAAGCAGAUGCUGUUAAGGGGCUCAAGAUGAGAAGACGUCCCUAUAAGGCUCAGGCAGAAGAAGAAAUUGAAGAUGAAGCUGCUGAAGCUGCUGAAUUAUGUCGUUUACUCAUGGAUGGUAUCAAUUAUUUCAUCCCCACAGUGUUUAUUCUUAUUUCUUUUGCUGAAAAGAAAAUAAACUUAGCCUUAAGAAGCUCAAUAUGUUCCCUUGGUUUGUGAAAAUAGUGUCCUGGAAAAUAUUCUCUGGAUUCCCAGUGUCUAUUGCUGCAGAAAAUACAGUGGUCACCCUGACCUGAGUUUUUGAAAAUAAAUUGUCAUUGCAAUAAUUAGCUGUGUGUUUUACAGAAGUUACAUUUAUUGCUGAAAUGACUGUUAAAUUAACUUCUUAAAUUGACUCUUGUUUCUUUAAAGUUCGGUCGAAUCCUUGAAUUCAUCAAACUUACUCUUGCUCACCUGUUAAUGUUCUAUUUGCACAAUCUCUAUUGUGAGUCAAGAAAAUUAUUGUAGUGUGUUUUACUUGUAUCAUCUGAAUAUUCUGUUAGGAGAAUAAAUAAUUAUGAUUUAUGUAAUUGACCAACUACUCUCCUUGUUAGAUGAGGAUGACCAAAAGAAGAAAAAAAAGAAGAAAAACAAAGCUGUUACAGAAGAUGCUGGGUUGACUUUCGGCUUACAACCACGCAUUGGUGUUGAGAGUUUACAAUGUGUUAAGAAAACAAGCAUAAUUCCCAAGCAAAUUGUUCGUUCUACUCAAUCUAAUGGGUCAUAUCCUCUGAAUGAGAAUAUUGUCAAGGAUACAAAGGAUGUAAGACAAGUUACCUUAAUUAUGUGGAUUAAUCAUAUUACCUGUUUUGACAUAUUCUGUCUAGUCUUUGCUCUUUGGGCAGCUUUGCCCAUGUUAAAGAUGCAUAAGGGUUUUAGUGACUGAGGUGUGCUUUGAUGGCAGAUUGAAAGUAGAAUUUUUAAAGGGAGCGUGUCUGGAAAGUUGAAAGGAAUGAAAAAAAAUGGUAUGCCAAACACAGGUCCAUUAACUAAAGUCAAAAUAUUGGGAGACAAUGUUAAGGCAAGUGCGCUCUUCUCUUCAUCUUUCUUUUUCUUCUUUUUAAUAGAAAGACAGGUGAGCUUGUUGAUAUCAUAUUGAGUAUAUUGUGUAGAUAUUGCAUGAACAUUGUUUUUGAAUUUCUUGUCAUUUAUAUUUCAACCUGGGAAGUUCUUUGGCAUUUCUUCUUUGUAUGCUUAUGUUAUGUAGAGUAUUAGAUAUCUUUUUCUUAUUCUAAACUACUUCACUUUCCUAUCUUAAAUCAGUUGUUCAAGGAGAAGAAAUCAUCUAGAGAAACUUUUGUCUGUGGAGCUUGUGGUCAGGUAUGCAACUUAUUGAGGUAGUGUGAAUCUUAGUUUUUGAUUUUCUAGGACAAUAUAAUCGACCGUUAUCUUUUGGUGGACUAGCUUGGACACAUGAGGACCAACAAGCACUGCCCCAAGUAUGGAGAAGAUCCAGAAACGCAGGUUGAAGCUACUGAGUUGGAAAAAACUCCAGGGAAAUCAACUUCACUAGAACCCUCUGGUCAGUCCCAAUUGAAGAUGAUGAAAAAGAAGCUCAUAACUAAAAGUGCGACAAAGAUAGCAGUUGUAGAAGCUUCGGAGGGUGAAAAAUCUAGUACAAACACAAAAGCUCUUCCAUUGAAAUUCAAAUGCUCUACUGAUAGGCCGUCUGAUAAACUUACUUCUGGAGGGACACAAAGUUCUGACAUUCCAGUCACUUCUGAUCCAGAAAAUGGAGCCAAAUCUGCUGCCAAGGUUAGUAAAAUAAUUAUUUCCAACAGGGCUAAGCCUGAUGAAAUGCAGGUUGAGUCUCAUAAUGUGCCUGUUGUUAUACGGCAUCAAGUGGAUACCGAUAGAGGCCAAGCUGAAUCCCAUAAGAAAUCUAUUGUUAUAAAGCCACCGACAAACAUGGAGAGGGACCAAGUUGAACCUCAUAAACCCUCUGUUGUCAUACGCCCACCAGCGGAUAAAGAUAAGGAUCAACCUCAAAAAAAAAUUAUAAUCAAGCGACCGAAGGAAGUUAUUGAUUUGGAUCAACUUAGUCAAGAGGGAGGCACUUAUCCCGAGUACAGGAAAACAAAAAAAAUAGUUGAAUUGUCAAGCUUUGAGAAGCAUGGGAAGCAGGAAAGCUUGCGAUUAAUGGAGCCAAAAGCAAGACGGAAAGCUAAAGAGGAGAGAAGAUGGUGGGAAGAGGAAGAGAAGAGGAGAAAUGUGGAGAGAAUAAGAGAAGACAGGGCAAGGAAGCUUUAUGAGGAAGAAAUGAGACUGCUGGAAGAGCGAGAAAGAUUUGCUGAGAUCACAAGAUACACUGAAGACAUUCGAAGAGAGAGGGAGGAAGAGGAACGCCAAAAAGCAAAGAAGAAAAAGAAGAAAAAGGCUGAAAUAAAAGAGGAUUAUUUAGAAGACUACAGGACAAGAAGAAAUGACAGAAGAGCACCGGAAAGAGAUCGAGGUGCAAAAAGGAAACCUGUUGAGUUAGGACGAUAUGGUGCAGAGUAUGUCCCUCCAACAAAGCGGCGCAGAGGGGGAGAGGUAAUUACAUUUCUUCUUCAUUGCUUCCGUUUGCCUUGGUUUUAUCUUUUUCUUUUAUUUCUCUUUUACAACUCCUGAUGGUACAUGUAUCAACUCUAGUAUCAUGGAAAUUGAAACUAGGCUCAGAUAAUGAUCUGGUGGAAUUGCAAUUGAAUUUUGUUCUUUAAGAUUGAAAGUUCACGGAUAUUUUUAUAUGCUUUACUUUGUGGCUUUGUUCCAUGGUAUGUGCAUAAACACUAUAAUGCUCUUUUCUUUUCUUUUCUUUUUGGCUUCAUUCCAUGGUAUGUGUGUAAACUAUACGUUAUUGAAUUGGUACUGUGGUGGUAUUAAUACCUCUAUAAUCACAAUGCUAUUUUUUAUAGUGCAGACGUUCUGAACUCAAAUGGGACGAGUGUACUUUAAAUUAAAUUAUUGUGAAAAACAGGGGGAUUUAAAUAUUUUAUCCGAAAAGCAGAAUCUAUGAGUUAUUGUAAUAGAUUUCUGAGCUUAACUACAUAAUAAGCAUAAUACUUUAUAGAUAGUUGGAACCGCAUGAUUCUGUAUUUGAUGCAAAUUCUAUUUCAUGUGUUUGAAUGGACACUAAAGGUACAUUUGUUGAGGGACUGUAAAUCUCUGUCAUUGUAGAAAAAAUAAAGGAAAAAAAAAGAAAGAAAUUUAUGUGUGAAUCACAAAAAAUUCUGCAAUUUUUGUGAAUUUUCUGUAAUGUUGGCAACAAAAAUGAACAAGUAUAGCCGCUGUAAACCCGCUAGUAAUCCAUUCAUCAUCUGGAAGCCUCUAGUAAAUUUUUACAAAAUGAGAAAGUUAUGAAGAAAUAAAAUUAUGUAAUGAGAGAACUAAAUGAUUCUUACAAAGGUUUGGAGCAUGUAAAGCCGCUAGUAAAUUUUCUUAUGCCUUAACUAUUACCAUUAAUCCAUCAAAUUUGCUGCUUAAUAUAUUCUUCAAUUGAUUGCCCUGCAGGUUGGUUUGGCCAACAUCUUAGAGCGGAUUGUAGAAACACUUAGAGAUAAUACCGAGGUGUCCUAUCUGUUCUUAAAACCAGUGUCCAAGAAGGAGGCCCCUGACUACUUGAACAUUGUAAAGCACCCAAUGGAUUUGUCCACAAUAAGGGACAAGGUUAGGCGGAUGGAAUACAAAAAUCAAGAAGAAUUUAGGCAUGAUGUAUGGCAGAUUGCCUACAACGCUCAUAUCUACAAUGAUGGUCGUAAUCCUGGUAUUCCUCCUCUUGCCGAUCAGCUUUUGGAGCUUUGUGACUACUUGCUACAUGAGUAUUCUGAUAACUUGGCUGAAGCUGAAGCAGGUAUAGGGGAAGCUUAAUCGGAUAACACAUUUAAAAUCAUUCAUCAUCUGAAAGCCAAAAUUCCCUCACAGUAGAACUGCUGCUUCUCUGGGUUCUAGGGGUUUCCAGGCUUUGAACCAUGGUAAUAGAGCUUUGCAUAUGUAUAGUCGAAACCUCGAGUGCUCGAGUCGUUUCAGGCAUAAAAAAGAACCUAGUUCAUAUAGGAUUAUUAUGGGUAAGAAAAAGGGAUGGUGACAACCUAGGUGACAUAGCCAGUAAGGACGUCUAGAGAUGAAAGCUUGUAGUGAAGCAGAUCCCAGUUGAAAGCAUUAGCCGUUGAAGACUAAAAGACCCCCAAGGCAGUCAUUCAGAAGAGCUUCAUGUCUGCAUACUGUUGGCCAAGAGAUGAAUCAUUCCCAUGAAAAUAUGGGACCUAUCAGGCAAUUAUCUUGAAGAGCUUUCAUCUUUUGGCAUUUAUUAUGUUUUGCUUGGGGGAAGAAUCUGAAGCUGGUGGGUGUAAUGCUUCAGUUGUUUACAAGAUAAAAAAACUUGGGCAGUCAAAAGUCCUUUCCACAUAGGUUAGUGUGAUUCAAGUUUUAUUUAACAUUUUUAAUAAUAACUUGUGAGAGAGGGAAGCUGAUAUAUAGUGAAGAAUUUUGAUGCACAAUUGAUUAACUGUCUGUACCACAAAUAUCUAUGUAACCUCUAAUGUAUUUUUCUCCCUUUUCUUGUUUCCGAUUGUAAAGAAUUUUAAUUCAUUUGUGUUUAAUUUUAGUUAUUAAAAAAACGAAUUUAUGAUGGAACAUUUAAAUAAAUCAAUUUAUGAUUUGUGAACAGAAAUUUAGGUUGUCAUAUUUGCUUUUCCUCGUCAUUAUGUAUUGCUAUUUUGAGUUUUGAUCUUUUCCUAGUAUAAGUGUACAUGUUUUCUUCCUCUUGUAGUAGCUUUUACAAUCCCACAAUUUUGUAAUUAUUUAAUCACAAUCACAAUUUAUUAAAAGAUUUCAUGAAUCUCAUAUAAUGUUCGGUGAAUGAGAAUUAGUCAAUUACCUAGUCUCAGAACGGAUGAAUUCAGGUUUAACAAUCAAUUUGAAACGUCAGAAGUUACUAAAAGUAGAAUCAAAUUAGAGGCCUUUCUUCUUUGAAUUUUCAACACAGGAAGAAAUUAUUGAAAUUAAUGAACCUAGCCAAUAACUUGAUGACAAUGACAGCAAACAUCACAACUAUUCAGCUAGUCCUGUACAAUAAACUAGCUAGAACAUCAAUCAGCAAUACACACAUAUAUACAUGUGUGAUAGUAGUUUCCUUUAUAAGUACAGAUUUCCUGCAGAAAUUGGAAGUUCCAUCGACCCUCCCUCAGAUCCUAGUAGGGCAAAUUGAUUACUUAUUCCUGCAACUGAGCAAAGGGAGAGUACAGCUGAAAAAAGAUAAUCAAGCUGAACUUUCAAUGUUGAUGAGCAAUGAAAUUUCCCAUGGCCUUUCCCAUCCUUUUCAUCAUUACCGGUCAAAGUUAGGUCGCUAGACCCGUGAUCUUCACGUACUGUGAAACCAAGCUUUUCUUCCCCUGGGGACACACUCUCACUCCAAACUCUUUUCUUUCGCCUUUUUUGCUCUCUCCAAAGCUAUAAAUAAGUCCCAAUAUCUACCAAUUUUUCCGCAUCAGACACAGAUUUCCACCAAAAAUGGCAACAUUCACGGUGAAAAACAGUCUUAUUGCUGUCAUCCUAGCGCUCAUUCUUGCUGGAGCCACGCCUGGAAUCAUGGUGAAAGCACAGUGUGUUAACAGUUGUGAACAACCAAAUGAAUGUUGCAGUCAAUAUGGGUACUGCGGAGAAGGUCCCGAGUUCUGCGGCGCAAACUGCCGAGGGGGUCCUUGUACUAACAAUGGCGUUUCCAUAGCUGAUAUCGUUACACCUGAAUUCUUUAAUGGGAUAUUGAAUCAGGGCUCAAGUUGCGUAGGCAGAAACUUUUACUCCAGAGAAGCUUUUCUUGAUGCUCUCACGUCUUUCACUCGCUUUGCAAGGUCUGGCUCAGUUAAAGAUUCCAGGCGUGAGAUUGCUGCUUUCUUUGCCCAUGCGAGCCAUGAAACUGAACGUAACCUCUCUUAUAAUGUCCUUUUUCAAAAGUACCCUAUACGUAGAAUUGUUCAAUGCUGAGCGAUAAGCUGUUGUUGUUGUUUCCAGGUUUUUGCCACAUAGAAGAGACAGAUGGGGCCAAGAAGGAUUACUGCAAUGAGACAGUGACAGAGUAUCCAUGCGCUCCGGGCAAAGGUUACUAUGGGCGUGGACCAUUGCAACUAUCAUGGAACUACAAUUAUGGGCCAGCUGGUUUGGAGCUUGGGUUCGAUGGUUUAGGUGCUCCAGAAACGGUGGCCAAUGACCCUGUUAUCGCCUUCAAAGCUGCCCUAUGGUUUUGGACCAAAAAUGUUGCAGCAGCCAUAAGCCAAGGAUUUGGGGCGACCAUUGAAGCCAUUAAUCCAAUGGAGUGUGGUGGUGGAGAGCCUCGGAAAGUGCAGUCUCGGAUUGAUUACUUCACAGGGUAUUGUAAUCAACUUGGUGUUACUCCUGGGGGUAGUCUCAACUGUUAGCAACAAUAAACAAAGUUAUUUCUUUUAAUUGUUUUACUCCAAUUUUGAUUUUCUUUUAAAAAAAAGGUUAAUAUGGUCAUUGAAAAUGUGAGAAAUAAAUGUUUUAAGAAAAAUAAUUGUGAUUUUAAGUCCAAAAUUUUGGAAAUCAAUUAAUAAAUGUUGAGAGGGAAAAGUUAUUGUCCAUUAAUACUCAAUUGCGAUGGGCUUUCUAAUUUUUUAAAUGUCAAAUUUAUUCACUGCUUUUUUAAUUUUCCUAUUUCUAUUUAAUUUCCAAACCAAAUCAUCUCAACAAUCUUCAAUUAGUAUUAGAUAUUCAACAAAUUGACCUAAUUUUAAAAAUAAACAAUUAAGUACGUCAAUUUUAUAUAAUUUUUAUCGGUAACAAUUUUAGCUUCAAUAUUUACAUUUCUUUUUAAUUUGGUCUUUAUUCUAAACAAUUCAACAGAUUUAACUUCCAUAUCUACAUAUUUCAACAAAUAUUAUUGGCUAAAUUUAUUAAAUCAUGACCAAAUUAAUAAAAUUUGUAAAUUAGGAGAGCUAAUUAUGUGACAUUGACAAAACAUAUUAGUGUGAAUGAUUACUUGUCCUUAAUUGCUCACUUUUAAAAUUAACAGAAUCAAAUUGCCCCAAUUUUUUUUGAGAGAGAUGAUAUAAGUUUUUUUACUCUCAAUUUUUAAAAAAUUAUUUUUUAUACAUUUAAUAGUGGAUAUUUUAGCGGAGCAACAUAACUUAAUGCGGCAUUGGAAGGGAUAGGUGCCAGAUAAUGCAAAAUAUUACAUUACAACGUGGAUCAUAACUCUGAAUUUUGUAGACCUUCAAUAAUUUAUCCCAAACUAACGUGAAAGUGAACAAUCAUUCCCACAAAAGGAAAUUCAAUCAAAGAAUCAUGUUUUUCAUCAUUUACAUUUGUGUCAUACAGCUUCUUCGUCCUACCUACUAAAAUUUGCAGGCUAUCUUAAUCUAAAAAAUAAAAAAAUUAUAAAGUGUUGGGUGUACAGUGUACUUUGUUUAAGUUCCAUGGGUGGUGAACUUUGCCCUAGUGACCAGGUCCUUGAGGACUAGGUCCCGAAGCUAACCGCUGGAGCCAAUACGACAUGGUGGAUCUUGCCUUGUGGUAAACCGACGAGUAAGUUUCCAUAUGAUUUCCGUUUCCCAAAUCUUCCCGUAAAACUCUGGCAGCUUCAACGCUCACAUCGCUCAACACUGCCAUUGAUAUGACGCAUAUCAUCAAAAGCGUACUUACUUUCCUGCUAUUCAUCUUCCCCAAACACUAGUCUUAAACACCAGAAGAAACAAAAAAAAAAAAAGGCUAAUAAACUUUGAAGAUUAUAUUGAAUAUGCAGUAAGAGAAGCUUAAUUAGGGUCCUUGGUGUUGUGAAUGAAGAGAACUUGGAACUGAAUAUCAGGUUUAUAUAGGAACAAAAGAAUACAAAGGUUUACAAAGUCAUGCUAGAACAGCUAAAAUGAUCAAAUAUGUGGGAAAAAAAUGGUGGGCUUUUUGGGACUAUACAAUUCGUGUUGACCAAGGAUUUUGUGCUGAGUCAUAC
This 85514-nucleotide long non-coding RNA is filed under the name Gossypium raimondii (Peruvian cotton). RNAcentral's name for it is "long non-coding RNA (GRAI_LNC009096)". Lineage: Eukaryota; Viridiplantae; Streptophyta; Magnoliopsida; Malvales; Malvaceae. The record is from RNAcentral.